This 47135-nucleotide long non-coding RNA is filed under the name Triticum aestivum (bread wheat). RNAcentral's name for it is "long non-coding RNA (TAES_LNC026347)". The record is from RNAcentral. Lineage: Eukaryota; Viridiplantae; Streptophyta; Magnoliopsida; Poales; Poaceae.
CAAAGUUUACACAUUUGAAUUGCUAAGCUCAAUAUCUUGCAAUAUCUAUAUCCUCAGUGUUUUUUAUUGAAAUGAGAAGAGGUUUACACACCAAAGUUCUUAGGAUAUCUUGCAAUACACUUCUGCAAACUUCAGGGUUUUUUAUUUAAAUGAAAAGAGGUUCUUAAUAUCCAACAUCUAGUCUUAUAGGAAGAGAAAUAACUGAAAGUGCAUACCUUCCUAUAUUACAGAGGUCAUACUCAGUGACGAUAUUAAAGAUAUCAAACACAUGGGGAUCAUACCUCUUGAUCAUGUCCUAUGUUCAGUGCUGGGAAUAUAGGCGGCCAGAUCGUCAUAACAGGAGAGAUGCGUACAGCCACACUUGCACACUCAUGUUCAUCUGCCAUCCUCUGAUACACCAUCUUAACCACCCUGCUACUGGGUUGAACAUAAAAGAUAACACCGCUUGAUGGAUGAUCCAAGAACACAAAAUCAGCAUUGUCUCCGACGGCAGCAACAUUAAGAUAUUCACAAGGCACCCAACUGUCACCCGCAAGACGUGCACAUGCUUCGAGAACAGAAAACGUGUCCACCAAGAGCCAACCGCCUGCACCAUGGUUGUCACCUGUCAUCCGAUGAAGCCACACGCUGAGCUGAAACCGGUCCGCAGUGACAAGAUAGAUCCCGGAACCCUCCACGGAUGAGAGCAUGUAAUUGUACCGCACUCCAGCUGGUAGCUGUAGUAUCACGAACGUUGCCGUGGCCAAAUCUAGACCCAGGGUGUACCCAAAGCCGGUCACCACGAAGACCUUGCCAUGGACGGGUGGUAGCAUUUUUGCAAAGAAGGUUGCAGCAUACUGGAGCUCUAUCUCUGUCAUGGCGGUGGUAGGGACGCCCCAUCCGCCGGAUCCCAGCACGUACACCUCCGCACGGACUUCUCGCUGGACCUUCCACAGAUUCACCAAGGUGAUGCCGUCGCGCCCCCCAUCCUCGGGCAGGAAAAUCUGAGUGAAUGCCCCCUGGGUGGGCUCCUGCGGGUGACGGCGGGUCGGCGGGAUCGGUGGGAGGGCCGCUUCGGGCUCCCCGGAGAGCAGCGGCGCGAGGACGGAGUGCUUGAAUGUUCCCUUGCGGAGGGACUCGACGAUGAGACGGCCGUUCCGGCAGUGCUCCAUGCGCUGGCCUCCGCGGGCGAAGGCGUGGGCGCAGGAGGAGGCCGCGCGGCGCGAGAGGGCGGCGAGCUCCGGGGGCUGCGGGAGAGGCACGAACUUGAACGGUCUCACCGAGUAGCCGGCGCAGACGCCGAGGACGCGGGGCGGGUUGCGCUCGCGGAAGCGGCGGAGGAAGGCCGGGUCGGAGGCGUGGUGGAGCCACCCCUUGGAGACGAGGGCGGCGCGGACGAGGAAGUUGGGGAAGCCGAGGCGGAUGAGGAUCUCGCGGAGGAGGUCGUCGUCGCCGAGGACCGACGCCGCCGAUGCGGCCGCGGCCGCCGCCGGAGCCCGCCCGUCGCCGUCCAUAUUUUUGGGGAUUUUCAGACGGAGAGGGAUUUCGUCGCAGAUCUGGUGACUCUGCAGAGUCGCCCUCUGCCGUCCAUACACGCUGCAGAACUUUAGCCCACCACAUCUGCCGUUCAAUCCAGAUCUGAUGGCAGAGAUGAGGCGAAGGCAAAAAAAAUCAGGACUUGUUUUUUUAGAGCAAGCAAAUUGCAUAUCGUAAAUUUUUUAUUUUUUUAAGGCAUAGGGUUCAGGCAAGCUCCCACCACAGCCGAUGAGAAGCAAACCUACUCAAACUUAAGCACACACAAAUACAACUCCAAUGCAUCAAAGAAUGUCCCAACCAGACCAACAAAAAUGUGUCUCAACCAACUCCAGCUCACCUUCAAAGAGCAACAACUCUAAACGAACUAUCCUUUCCGACGCACCAACCACCCUGAUUGUCUAAAAGAGUUGACGGGUGGGUCUCGGGACUAAGACAGCUCCGAGAAAGUCAUCGUCUUGAACUCACCCGCAAUGACGUCCCUAGCACCCCUCACAAGCAAUCUAGAACAACGGCAGGCACCAAAGGAAUGCAACAUAGAACCUCCAACUCGUGUCUCCAUAAAUAAUGCUCCCAAUGGAGGAACGACAUCGAGGACGCCACCAUUGUCGAUCUGAAACUAAACCUAGGCUUUCACGCGGAGACAACCAACCAAGUGAGAGAGACAGAGACACACCACAUCGGAACCUUCGUUGAGGGGACGACACCAACAAGCAUCGUCGUCGUUGGCACCAACCGAAGACGGGUAGGACGUUCGUCUAAAUCGUCGUACACAUGCAUCCCUACCCACCGAAAAUCAAGCACGCCAUCCAUGUUGGUUCGCUCUGCCACCAUCGCAACACCUCACCAAUGAAGCCACAUUGUCACGCGCCACCAACACCACCGUCGAAAAUGGCAAACACCUCCAUGUUGAGUUGUUGGCGUUACCACCUGGACCACCAUGGUGUUUGGUGGUCGCCGAGGCCCAACUUCACCAAGAUUGUCGGUAGCCACGGACCAAGCCAUACCGAGUAGAUCCAAAUCCAAACUGGGCAAGCCUAGGACCCCUUACCGAUCACUAUCGCCGCUGAAACUUCGUUACACCUUGCUGGUAAGCUCUCCAGCGGAAGGAAGUCACACCACCACCAGACGCGGAGCCACUACUCCGGUCGACGCCCAUCCAAACCCACCCGCAGCAAGACGGAUCUGGGCGGAGGAGGCGUGACUUAGGUGGGUGCAGCCACUACUUUCCCUUCCACGAAGGAGCUACAACUUGGCAAGAAAACCCAGUUCAGGAGACGAUGAUAUGCUAUGCCAUCAUGACUUCGACGGCGUUUCAACAAACAUGGGUAAAAAAAUUCCAAUGAGAACUGCUAAAAUGCAGCGCGCGCACACCGCUCCAGCAGCGCGCGCGACUCGCCAGGGCAUUGCAUAUAUGACAUUUUGGACACAAAAUAAAGUUGAAACAUUCAAAAUGCGAUGAACAUGACAUAUAAAAUUUCACACAAACAAGUUGAUGAAGAAAAGUUCAUGCCCACAAGUUCAAAAUCAUGCCCACAAGUUCAUCCAACCAAGUUCAAAAUGCAAAUCAAGUUCAAGACACAAAUGAAAGACACAUCAUUCCUCGUCCUCGUCUUCGUCCUCGUCCUCGGAAGACGAUUCUUCCGCCUCCGAAGAUGAAUCUUCCUCCCUCUCCUCAUCGCGCACCGCAUCACGUGAAGCUCCGGUGGUGUUGGCAAGAUUUUCAACGGCAUCUUCAUGGGAAUGUGUGUGAGGAGGCACAUCGAAAGACAUUCCGCCCAUGGCGGCCGGAGGUGCACCCAUGCCUUCAAUGAGAGAAGCAAAACUCAUGCCUCCCACGAUGGCCAUAGCGUCAGGGGGUGCUCCAAAGCCACCCAUGCCUCCCAUGGUGGCCAUAGCAUCGGGGGGGGGGGCUCCAAAGCCACCCAUGCCUCCCAUGGCACCUAAACCGCCCACGGUACCUCCGAAGCCACCCAUGCCACCCAUGGCGCCGAGGCCACCGCCACCCAUUGCACGAACCAUGGCUCUUUUUUGGAUCAAGACUUCUUCACGGGCAAGAUUGACAUACUCCUUUUGCGCCUCAUUGAGGUUAGAUGUGUCCAAGAAAAACAAGUGCUUCUCCCAUUCCAACAAUCUAGUUCGCUCCUUAUUGCUCACCUUCCUCUCCUCCAAAGCCACCUUCCUCUCCCCGGCCGCCACCCUCCUCUCAUCGGCCGCCAACCUCCUCUCCUCGGCCGCGCGCGGCAUCUUGGUUCCUUACCAUUGUCCUCACCUCGUUGGCUUCUUUUCUUGCCUUCACAAUAGCUUCCAUAGCAUUUUUUAGCUUAUCAUCUCCUUUCCUCUUCUUCUUUUCAGUUUUGUCUUUCUUGCACCCAUCCGGUCGCUUUGGCUUCGAGUAUGAAACCGAGUUGGGUGUGGGGCUUCUCUUGCCGUCAUCACUUGAUGCAUCAUCCUCCUCAUCAUCAUCAUCCAACUUAAUUGUUCGCUUGCGUUUGUUGCUCAAAUGCAAAUCAUCCAAAUCUUCACGCUUCUUCCACUACAAAAAAAUACACUUCCGUGAUGAUACAUGUUUGUCACAGUAGGUCACAUUUUUUGUCAUGCAUGUACAUCCAUGACAAAUUUAUGACAGAAUCGAGAUAGUCAUACCUGUGCUGUCAUAGAAGUGUUCCAUGACAUUACCAAAAAUAUCAUCACGGAAGUGUCCACUUCUAUGACGAUAAAUCGUGCGUCACAGAAGUGUUUUCGUCAAGGGUGACCGACACGUGGCAUCCACCGUAACGGAACGCCGUUAAGCUAUCGGGUCGGGUUUUGGAUCCGAUAACCCGUUAACAGCCCCGACCAAUGGGGAUUUUCCACGUGUAAAAUCAUCAUUGGCUGGAGGAAACACGUGUCGGCUCACCGUUGGGACAGAUGUCAUCCGCUCAUUGGACCGAAGGCGCCUAUGAUACGGCGACACGUGGCACGGCCCAACAGAGGCUCAUUCCUAUGAAAAGUCCAGCCCGUUUGACUUGGUCAAAAGGUGGCGGGCCGGCCCACGGAAAGCCUGUUAACGGCCUAUUCGCAUAUAGCCCAUUUACAGCCCGCUAACCUAGGGCCCGUUACGCUCUAUCUGAAUUAGGCCCAGUAGCGUCAUCUGGGCCGUCCAAUAUGAUUCAGCCUAUUUUAACUUCCAGCCCAUGUGUGGCCCAUGACUUCUUUCGGCCCAUAUGAGGAUCUUUGUAACUCUUGGCCCAUUAACGGUCCGUGGUGAAACUGGCCCGUAAUGAACAACGUAUCACUUUAUACCCAUUAACGGCCUGUUAUUCCAUUGGGCCGUUUCCAGCCCAAGUUAUCUUUCGGCCUUCUCAGGGCCCAUUGAUUCUUGAGCUCAUUUGCAGCACUCGGUUACAUACGGCCCGUUACUGUCAUUUUCUGCUUGUGGGCCAAAUUCAGCCCGUCGUUACAGUCGGCACGUUUGCCGACCGUUAAUACGUUGGGCCGUUUUCAUGUCAAAAAAAAUCCGUUGGGCUGUUUUCAUAGAGUUAUCAAAUACGGCCUAUUAACGGCCCGUUAUGGUCCAUGAAUAGUACUGCCCAUGAUUGGCGAAUUGAUGAUACGCCCCGUAGAAGGCCCAUGGAUCCUACGGCCCGUAUGAGGCCCAUGGAUAGUACGGCCCGUAGAAGGCCCAUGGACCCUACGGCCCGUAGAAGGCCCAUGGACCCUACAGCCCAUAGAAGGCCCAUGGACCCUACGGCCCGUAGAAGGCCCGUGGACCCUAAGGCCCGUAUAGAAGGCCCAUGGAUCAUACGGCCUGCAGGAGGCCCAUGGUUACAACAGUCCGUGUGUUGCCAUGAUUAUUUUGGCCUAGUUACCAAAAAUAGGCUAUUGUGGCCACUAGAAAAAAACAGAAAAAGAACUGACUACAAGCAAACAACUAAAUAAGACAAUAAGGAAAUAAAUAAGCAAGCAAUUAACGCUAGCCUAUUACCGCUAUUACACAUGUUACAUCCACUGGGCAUCAAAGUUCGCCACCAGUGCAAAUAUAGGGAACAAAGCAGCACAUUACAUACACUGGCCGUCAAAAUUGGCCACCAGUGCAAAUAAACGCGGCAGCAAAACAAGAGCAUAAUUGAAACAACUUCAGAAGAGCUCAAUAAACGUUAUCCCGGGUAUCCAUCAUGCUGGCAAUAAGCUUAGCAAGCUGAUUAGCUUUGUCCUAUUUGGCGCUAAAAUCCUCCAACGCUUGCUGUUGCACCAGAAAGUAUGCAUCUGAAUGCUCCAGGGACUUCCGCAGUCCUUCCGCUUCUUGUCGCAGCACAGCUGAUCGAUGUCUUUCAGCUUGUAGUUGAGACUCAAGAAACCGAACUAAUUCAGACAGUGAGUUUGAAUAGCUUGUGCAAGCGGUAGUGGCCAGUUACUCGAACACUAAACCAAGACAGGACUUUGGGGUUGUCUCACUGUCUUCAAGAUAGUCUUCCUUAGCUGUUUUAUCAGCUUUGUUGGAGACCAACAAGGAUGUGUCACUAUCCUGAACCUUAUCUGCAUUACUUCCUGAAAGUGCGUUAUAUCGACUAGAGGGGGGGGUGAAUAGGCGAUUUUUAUGAAAGUCUUCAACACAUGGAAGUUUCGAAGAAAAAAGAUAGAAAUAAACCUAUUACCAUGCAGCGGAAGGUAGACUACACUAGGCAAACCAUAGUCAAGUAUUCAAUGAAGUGAAAGCACAUUGACUAAUAGCAGCUAGGUAGUAAGGAUCAGGUAGGAAGAUAUUAUGAAGCCAAUCAGAACAAGCAAUCACUCAGUGAAGACAAGAGAUAGUGCAAUCAUACAAUGACUUCACAAGGACCAACAGUAAGUAAAGGGAAGGGAAGGAUGAAACCAGUGACUCGUUGAAGACAAUGAUUUGUUGGACCAGUUCCAGUUGCUGUGACAACUGUACGUCUGGUUAGGGUGGCUAGGUAUUUAAACCUGAGGACACACAGUCCCGCACACCCAGUCCUGAACACGCAGCUCAGGACACCCAGUCCUCACCAUAUUCCCCUUGAGAUAAGGUCACACAGACCUUGCCCAAUCACUCUGGUAAGUCUUCAAGGUAGACUCCCAAACCUUCACAAACUUCGUUCACCGGCGAUCCACAAUGUCUCUUGGAUGCUCAGAACGCGACACUAACCGGCUGGAGGAUUCACAGUCCUCAAGUGUAAUAAGUCUUCAGAUCACACAGACAAGAAGACUUAAGUGAUGCCUAACACUCUUUGGCUCUGGGUGGUUAGGGCUUUAUCCUCGCAAGGAAUUCUCUCUCAAAGGCUUCGAGGUGGGCUGCUCUCAAACGACAAAAGCCGUACUCUAACUCUGAGCAGCCAACCGUUUAUGGUUGUAGGGGGUGGGCUAUUUAUAGCCACUAGGCAACCCGACCUGAUUUGUCCGAAAUGACCCUGGGUCACUAAGGAACUGACACGUGUUCCAACGGUCAGAUUUCAAACUCACACAGCAACUUUACUUGGGCUACAAGCAAAGCUAACUUGUCCGACUCUGGACAAGAUUCGCUCUCAUAGUCUUCACUUGAAGACAUAGGUUUUGGUUAAGCAUCACUUCAGUCAUUCUGACUGGUUCUCUUGGACCCCACUUAACAGUACGGUGGUUCCUAUGACUCAACAAAGAAGAAACAGAACUACGAAAGAUCUAAGUCUUCGAGCUCCAUAGGCUUCAUGCGAUGUCUUCUCUUGUCAUAGUCUUCAAUGAGAAUAUCUUCAUAAACCACCUUUGACAUCAAUGUCUUCAUACAUUUUUAGGGGUCAUCUCUGGUAGGAAAACUGAAUCAAUGAGGGACUUCUACCUGUGUUAUCCUGCAAUUCUCACAAACACAUUAGUCCCUCAACUAGGUUUGUCGUCAAUACUCCAAAACCAACUAGGGGUGGCACUAGAUGCACUUACAAUCUCCCCCUUUUUGGUGAUUGAUGACAAACUAGUUGAAGUUUUCAACGGGGAAUAUAAUAUGUGAAAUUGUAAAAGGAUAAGGAAUUGUCUUCAUAAGCUGCAAGGGCUCCCCCUGAAGAUGUGCAUAUAAGUGAUUUGCUUUUGGAAUGCAAAUGCACAUGGCAGGUUGUACUUGUGGAGAUCCUCUUCAACUUAUGAUGACAAUUCAUUAUGCAUGUGUAGGUAUGUGAAGAUAAUGACAUGCACAAUGGAAAAUGGACGUCUGCAAAAUGAUCUAAGUGCAGAAUUUACCGUCGCACAUGCGGAAUUUAUCAUCGCAUCACAAAGUAGCAAAUAAGUAGCAGACGACCAUCGAGUUUAAGUGUUACGACUCAAAGAACCAAAUGUAUCAAAACGAGAGUUGUAAACACUAGGCAAAAUAUAAAGCAACCGCCCAUAGGGACCCGCUUGAAGACUAUCAAACUCAUAUGCUUCUCCCCCUUUUGUCAGUAAGGACCAAAAAGGUUUGAAGACAUAGAGCAUCUACUCGUUCCCAAGAUGAGUAGGUGAAGCAGCAGGGUCGUCGGUGGUGUUCGGAGGUGCAGAAGAACUUCGAGCAGUGUCGAAGCGUGCUGACGGAGGUGGCGGUGAAGUAGCAUCGUCUUCGUCCUCGAUCACUCUGGCAUUCACAGUUGCCACAGAGGAAGAGAACUCAGAGUCUUCAAGAGAUGGAGUUCGUCGCAGCACUGCCCUUCGAGGAGGUGUGGAGUCAAACUUGAAGCGUUCAGAGAAGCCAUCCUCUUGAAGAUCAUCUUCAGAGCACAUAAGCGUCAGCCCUUUCCAUGUGCGUCGAGAGGUUUCAUGUGCAACAAAGGCAUUCUUGGUGGCAAGAUUGCGAAUACGGUUGACAUCCACCAAGAGGCUUUGCAUUUGGCGCUUCAGCCAGUCAUGAUGCCUAUCCUGUUUCUGAUGAAGAGCAACCAGAAGCUCUCGGUCAUUGAGAACACGAGUGCGCUUCUUAGGUCGUUGGGCAAUUGUGCUAUCGGUGGCUUCAGUAAGGGCAGGAUGUGGUGCACGUGUAGUUCCAGCCAAAGGAUACACACGAGUGACUGCUUCAACUCCUUCAAUGUUCUGAGAAAAACUUUGAUGCUCCACAUUCUGAAGACUUAGAGGUUCCUUGGCAGGCUCAGGAUAAAUUGCUUCAACAGACAUAUCCACAUCAGGCAGAAAGAUCCGAUGAUUGCGAGCAGAUGGCUGAUAUGAGAUAGCGGAGUGGAGUUUAAUCAGCCGCAUUAUCCAUGGAGCGUAGAACUUCAAGCCAAAAAGAUCAGAGCCUGAUGCAGCAAGUUGGCGGAUGAAGAAGUCCUGUGCAUUGAAGCAUUUGCCAUGAAGAAUAUAGAAGACCAAAGUCUUCAUUGCACCUUCCAGCUUGGCAUGUGGAGAAUGUCCUUUGAUGGGCCAGAGAGUUCGCCUUAUGAUGUGAUAAAUAGUCCUUGGCAGAUACUCAAGGUCUUCAACGAAGAACUCCUUGGGAUAUGCAGCAUCUUGGGGCAAUGGCUUCAUCAUACUGAGCAUCUGACUCAUGUUAGGUUCAGGCUUCUGAAAGAUGCUCUCCACAGCUUCACUGUGAAGCUGACAGCCAUGUUCGUAGAGAUCGCCAGGAGUGGGCAGACCAGUGAGCUCAAUGAUAUCAAAGGCUUUGGCUUCGUGAUGAACAUUUCCUGUCAUCCACUCCAGGACCCAAGUCUUCGGAUCUCUGUUGUACCCACGGAUGUGAAGUGUGGCAUAGAAUUGGAGCAGCAACUCUUCAUUCCAGUGCUCUUGGUCGGUGACAAACGGCAGCAAUCCAACCUCUUUGAAGCAAUCUAGAGCUUCUUCCAGACAAGGCAGACCAGCUAUUGCUUCGAUGUCAAGACGCUUAUGUGGGAAGAUGCGACCUUGAUUGUAUAGAAUGCAGGAGUAAUAGCUUCGCUGCGGAUAGCUCCAGAACCGAUCAGAUGAUAUUCUUUUCCUUGAGUAGGGGUUCCUGGAGCUAUUGAAGAAAGUGUUGUCUGCUUUGAAGCCAUUGACAUUGAAGGAUCCAGGUGUUGAUGCAGGACCUGGAAACCUGGGCAAUCUUGGGAUUGGCUUCUGUACCUGAGGCCUGUGCUCAACAUGAUAGUCAAACUGAGGACCAGCAGUAGGCGCAGGAAUAGAAGCAGUAGUAUCAGUGGCUUCGCUGACUUCUAGUGCUUGGGUUGGUGAAGGCUCCACAUUAGCUUCAGCCAUGACAGCGUCGGUGGCAGCCUCAAGAUUCUCAACCUCCAUUUGAUGAGCUGGAGGGUCGGUCACAGUCACGUUCUCCUCGAGAACAGCUUCUUGGUGAGACGGGGGUGUAGCAGCGCUUGGGGUUUCUUCUUCAUCGGCUGAUGCAGCCGGAAUGUCUUCAGCAGCUUUAGCUUCAGACUCAGAGACUGGAGGCCUUGGUCCUUUGUGAAGCCUGCGUAACGCUGGCGACGCCUGUGGAGUUGGAGUUGGCUAGGCCUCAAAGUCAUCUUCCUCUUGUGCUUGUGGGCGAUUAGCCCAUGAUGCAUCCUGAGCAAUUGGCGUCAGAGGAUGACCAAUGCUGAUAAGUUCGUUGUGCGUUAGCACAGGCGAUAAUACCUGUUGGUGCUCGAGCUGAGGAAGAACUGCAUCAUCUUCAACGUGGUCAUGGUGACCAAUGUCUUCAGCAGCAGUGGGAUCAGCUGCUGGAAAGUCUUCAGCUUCAUGAGCCUCUAUGAAAGCAAGCUCAUGGGCAGUCAGUUGGCACUCUUGAGGUUCAGCGUCAGGGCGAACCAUGAAGAUGGGUUCAACAAUCAAGGGCUCUGUGAGAGCAGCCCGUUCCUUCUUGGUCUUCCGCUUCUUCUUGGAGGGGGCAGUAGCAGAGGCUUCAGGAUGUUUCCUCUUCCUGGCUUCAGCCUCAGCAGUCCUCGUCUUCUUUAGCUCUGAAGCGGUUGACCGGACCUUUGGCUUCGAGCCAGUCAUGCUAGUUGGGAAGAAAAUGGGAUAUGCUUCCUGCCUUGGUGCGUCGGGUUCGGCCACAGUGGGCUUCUUCUUCUACUUGGCAGCCAUCCUGGGAUCAAUGCCCGGACGCCCAAGGGCCUUGUGCUUCUCAGCCUCGUUGUAGCCUUGCACACACUUGUCAGCCAGGCUCUUCAUGCGCUCAUGAGAACCCUGAGCUUCUUCACGCUUCUUGAGAAAGGCUUCUUUAAGCUCGUGCAACAUGAGCUUGAAGUUCUUGACCUCUUGUAUACUGAGCUUGGCCAUAUGCUUCUUGAACUAAGCUUUUUCAUAGUCAAUCUUUUGCUUCAGUUCGAUGAUGCGCUGAGCUAGAGCUAGCUCUGAAGCAAUGGCGCCAUGGAAGGCGACACUAAGGCCAAUGGGAAGUUGCAGAUCUUCGAAGCUGAGGUUGGGCGUGUCAAACCACUCAUCAAUGAAGUUAUGGAUGAUUGCCACGUCAAAGAGAGGCAGAUCAUUGAAGAUUUCUGCUUCAUCUUUGCUCUUGAUGAGUUGCUCAAGAGCGUCAUCUGCAAGAUCUUCAUCACUGGACAGAUCGAUGGCAUCGUUUCGCAGAAUGGCAGCAACUGUCAGUUCUUGGCCGGUGUGUGGCAGAGGCAUCUUGACUUUCUGAGGCUUGGAGAUGCAUGAUAAAUCUUCAGACUGCACACUGUCUUCAGGAGGUGUAGUAGCCAGUGGCUUCGCCUGUGAGAUUUUUGGUGCAGAGGCAGGCUUUGAAGCUUUAGGCUGCUUCAACUUCUUUGGCUUGGGCGCUGCAGGCGCUUCAUCUGAUUCAGCGUCAUCUGCAGGCUCAUUCACGGCUGUCCCUUGAACCACGAUGUGAGUGAUGAGACCUUCCAAGUUGUAGAAGGUACCAAGAAGAUUGGGUUCAGCUUCACGAGUUCCAUCGGCACGGGGAGCAGAGGGACCAGGGUUGAAGUCUAAUCCCAAAGACUUCUUGUUCUGCUUCGCUGAGUUCUGGGAAAACUGGAAGUUGCGCUUAAACAGAUUGUCGUCACGACACCAUAGCAGUGACGAUGGGUCAGCAUCUGCAGGCUGUGGUCCACGGACCAUGUAGGGAUAGAAGCCUUGUUCAAUGGCUUCAUCUCUGGUCCUGGGUUGAAGAUUUUUGUAGAGGAUGUCUCCCCAUGGUCGCUUGAUGGCAUUCUUUUCAGCAUAUUCCUUUGUCACAAAUCUGUACUUGAACCACUGUUCUGCCCAAUAGCGUCGAAUCCAUUGGAUUCGUGUCUUGCGCUGAUUGUAAUCCUCUUCAGGAUCUGUCUUGUACAGCUCUGAGAGGUCAUCGGGCAGAUCUCUUGAUGUUUCUCCUCGACGCUUUCUGCCACCCUUCCUUGCUGAUUUCUCUAAAGCCAUGAACUUUAAAUUAAAUGGCUUCAAUACGUCAAAGGCUUCAAAGGCUUUCGUUUGCUGGACAAACAGGAACUGGCUUCGGGAGAAUUUAUGUGAUACUGUAAGAAUUCUGCAAAUGAAUGCAGACUAUGAGAACCAAGGGAUUCUCCCACGGACAUGUACCUGUGACAGCAUUAAGGUGCGAGGGAAGGGGAAGAGGUCAUAUGCAUUCUCAGAAGAUUUUGAAGAUAAAUCAGUUUAGAAGACAUUGACCUCAUCGUGCGAAGACAUUCACUCAUAGAUAAGGAGUUGGUUCCAGAUUUGUACGAAUCCACGGAUUAGUACAAGUGAGGAAUCUAACUACUUUGUGAAGCAUAAGUGAAUAUACUAGGCAUAUUAUGAGAUGCAGUUGAAGUGGAUCCAACAUGUGUGAACAAAAACCACUUGUGGUAGAAAGUGACGAAUCUAUAGGAUCAAAGGGGCCGUAAAAAGGAAGUUUUAUUUACCACACGUAGAACUGCUAGACGGAGUGGAAGAGGAGGCCGAGUAGUCCGAUCGUCCGUGCCCUAACUUGGCGACGGAGGACACCUACGGCGACGGCGGAGAAGACGAUGUCCGCGGUCGGCGUGAAGACGGCGUCGGAGAGGUUGCGGCAGCUAAGCGCUUCGUCACCGGCGUCGUCGAGGGCUAGCGGUGGCGCUAGGGUUCGUGCGAGAGUGGAAGAAGAGAUAAUGACUGCGGUGAGGCGUGUAUUUAUAGGGACAGGGGCGGCUCAGUGUUAUUACACAGGUGCCCCUGGCGAUUCACAUCUGAGGAACACGUGGCCAUCAUGCAGCAUGUCGGAGGUUGUUCCACGUCCCACGCACGCCUGGAUUGUCGAGGGGUCGUUCCCACUUCUCCGGGUUUCAGGUGAAGGAAUUAGCAUUGAAAGCGGACUUAAUGUUUGUCUCUGUAUCUUCUGCUGACAAGGACACAGAGAAGACAUUUGACAGUUUCAAAGGAAUGCAUAUGAUUUGGAGAGAUAGAGUUUGAGAUAGAAAGCAUAGAGAGGUUAGGGUCCGAUCACAUUCACUUAGUUCAAAAGAUUCAACAAGAAGACAUAGCUAUAAGUGAAUGAUGUAGAGGAUAGAACACUAGUAUAUAUAUAUAUAUAUAAUCAACAUAGCGAAGAUAAUCAUGAAGACAUGUUGAGAUUGAAGCCAAACUAAAUGUGAAGACAUAGCAAAUGUAACGCCAUGAGUGAAACACUUCAAACAGAACCUUUGGUGGUGGCGUUACCCACCGUAUAUGAAGUAUUAGACCCAGACACGGCGCACAAUUAUCGUGGCGCUCCGAAGUCAAAUUCCACAUUAAUGUAUUCACACUUAGAAUGUAUGUAUUCAUUGAUUGAAUAUAUACUUUACUUCGUGUGUUGCACAUCUCAGUCAUCAAUAUGCAUACGUGUUAGGAUGUGUGCCUGAUCACAGGACAUUUGAGGAUUCCAAGAUAUUUAGCUCACACCGUAACUUGCAAAAUCUCUUCUCAUCCAAGGGCUUGGUGAAGAUAUCUGCCAAUUGCUCUCCAGUGUUGACGUGUAUGAUAUCAAUAUCUUCCUUCACAACAUGAUCUCUGAGAAAGUGAUGACGAAUUUCAAUGUGCUUUGUCUUCAAGUGCUGAACUGGGUUGUUGGCAAUCUUGAUGGCGCUUUCGUUGUCACAGUAGAGUGGCACUUGUUUCAGAUGAAUGCCAUAGUCCUUGAGUGUUUGCUUCAUCCAUAGAAGCUGAGCGCAGCAAGAUCCAGCAGCAAUGUAUUCAGAUUCAGCAGUGGAGAGAGAUACACAGUUCUACUUCUUUGAAGACCAACAUACAAGUGAUCGUCCCAGAAAAUGACAUGUGCCUGAUGUAUACUUGCGAUCCACCUUGUCACCAGCAUAAUCAGCAUCCCAGAAUCCAACCAGAUCAAACUCUAAGCCCUUUGGAUACCAUAAUCCUAGAGUUGGGGUGUGAGCCAAAUAUCAAAGAAUUCGCUUCAUAGCUAAGUGAUGCGACUCCUUUGGUGCCGCUUGGAAUCGAGCACACAUGCAAACACUAAGCAUAAUAUCUGGCCUAGAUGCACAUAGAUAAAGUAAAGAACCAAUCAUGGAGCGGUAUACCUUUUGAUCAAACUCUUUACCAUUGUCGUCGGGACCCAGAUGAUGUUUGGCUGGCAUUGGCGUCGUGAAGCCUUUGCAGUCUUGCAUACCGAACUUCUUCAGGCAAUCUUUGAGAUACUUCUCUUGAGAUAUGAAGAUGCCAUUGCGUUGCUGUCGUAUUUGAAGACCGAGGAAGAACUUCAGCUCUCCCAUCAUGGACAUCUGAUAUUGCUCUUGCAUCAUAUAUCCAAACUCUUCACUGUACUUCUGAUUGGUGCAGCCGAAGAUAAUGUCAUCCACAUAUAUUUGGCAUACAAACAGUUCACCAUCAUAUGUCUUCGUGAAGAGAGUGGGGUCGAGGGAACCAGGUAUGAAGCCUUUGCUCUUCAGGAAGUAUUUGAGUGUGUCAUACCAAGCCCGAGGGGCUUGUUUGAGGCCAUACAGUGCCUUGUUGAGCUUGUAUACCAUGUCAGGAUGUUUUGGAUCUUCAAAGCCAGGCGGUUGUGCAGCAUACACUUCUUCUUCAAUCUUGCCAUUGAGAAAAGCGCUCUUCACAUCCAUUUGAUAUAGAAGUAUGUUAUGAUGAUUUGCAUAGGCCAGCAGUAUGCGUAUGGCUUCAAGUCAAGCCACAGGAGCAAAUGUUUCAUCGAAGUCAAUCCCUUCAACUUGAGUAUAUCCUUGAGCAACGAGGCGAGCUUUGUUUCUGACAACUUGACCAUGCUCAUCUUGCUUGUUGCGAUAUAUCCAUUUGGUGCCUAUUAUAUUGUGCUUCCGAGGAUCAGGACGCUUAACCAGUUCCCAUACAUUAUUCAGCUCAAACUGUUGAAGCUCUUCUUGCAUAGCUUGAAUCCAUUCAGGUUCCACGAAGGCUUCUUCAACUUUCUUGGGUUCUGUUAUUGAGACGAAUGCGAAGUGCCCACAGAAAUUUGCUAGUUGUGUUGCCCUUGAACGAGUGAGCGGACCGGGUGCAUUUAUGCUAUCAAUUAUUCUCUCAAUCUGCACUUCAUUGGCAACACGAGGAUGUACAGGGCGAAGAUUUUGCUCUUGCUGAUCAUUGUCAUUGUUAGAGGAAUUGUCUUCAGGCUGAGCAUUGUCUUCAGGUUGAUCAGGUGCGGAGAUGAUAAGUUCCUCUUCAGGUUGAGCUUCAGAGGGUAUGAUUUCUCCAGUUCCCAUAAGUUUGAUUAAUUCACUGGACGGAACUUCAUCUAGCACAUUUGGCAGGUGCUCUCUUUGUGAACCGCUAGUCUCAUCUAACCGCACAUCCACUGUUUCAACCACUUUAUAAUGAAAGAGAUUGAAGACUCUGUAGGAGUGCGAAUCCUUCCCAUAUCCAAGCAUAAAACCCUCAUGUGCUUUUGGUGCAAAUUUUGAAGUGUGAUGUGGAUCCUUGAUCCAGCACCUGGCUCCAAAUACUCUGAAGUAACUGACAUUUGGCUUCUUGCCAGUAAGGAGCUCAUAGGAUGUCUUGUUCAGAAGCUUGUGAAGAUAAACACGAUUGAUUGUAUGGCAUGCAGUAUCAAUAGCUUCAGGCCAGAAUUUUCUUGGAGUCUUGUAUUCAUCUAGCAUCGUUCGGGCCAUCUCAAUGAGUGUUCUGUUCUUGCGUUCGAUGACGCCAUUCUGCUGUGGCGUGUACGGAGCUGAGAAUUCAUGUGUGAUUCCCAAAGUAUCAAGAUAUGUAUCAAGUCCAGUGUUUUUGAAUUUAGUGCCAUUGUCACUUCUGAUGUGCUUUAUCUUGGCGCCAUAGUUGUUCAUUGCUUGAUUGGCGAAGCGUUUGAAGACAUCCUGCACUUCAGUCUUGUAGAGGAUUAUGUGCACCCAAGUAUAUCUAGAAUAAUCAUCAACAAUGACAAAGCCAUAGAGACAAGCAGUAGUAGUAAGAGUUGAGUAAUGAGUGGGACCGAAAAGAUCCAUGUGGAGCAGUUCAAAGGGUCGAGUAGUUGUCAUGAUUGUCUUCGAGGGAUGUUUGGCCCUCAUCAUCUUUCCUGCUUCAUAGGCACCGCAUAAGUGAUCUUUCUUGAACUUGACGCCCUCGAUGCCUAUGACAUGCUUCUUCUUUGCAAGGGUGUGGAGGUUCCUCAUGCCAGCAUGCCCUAGCCUCCGAUGCUAGAGCCAGCAUUCUGAAGCUUUUGCUAGAAGACAUACGGCAAGCUGUGGUCCUGCUGAAAAAUCUACCACGUACAAAUCAUCUUUCCGAUACCCUUCAAACACUAGAGACUUGUCAGAUUCCAUUAGAACAAGGCAACGAUAUUUUCCAAACAUUACGAUCAUGUUCAAAUCGCAAAGCAUUGAGACAGACAUUAAGUUGAAGCCAAGGGAUUCAACAAGCAUGACUUUAUCCAUGUGCUGAUCCUUUGAGAUUGCAACUCUACCUAGACCCAAUACCUUACUUUUACUAGUGUCAGCAAAUGUGAUGUGACUCUUGUCGGAUAGACGUAAGGUUGAGUCCAUAAGAAGGCUUCUUUUGCCAGUCAUGUGAUUGGUACACCCACUAUCAAUAAUCCAUUCUGAAGACGCUGGUGCCAUACCCUACAGUGCAGUUAGGGGGAUAGGCUUCACGAAGAGAAUUGUGAAGCAAAAAUAUUUGACGAACCAGUGGGUUAUGAAAGCUUAGAUCCAGAUUAGGACUGAUAGGGAGAGUAGCAAGCGAUUCAGGAAUGAAGUACAUAGUAAGACCAUUCGGGCAUUUGAUCUUGCGCCCUACAAGAUGUUUAAGGUCCCCAGCAAUAGCGUCAGACGAUUUUGGUUUUCUGCUGGAGACCUUUCCCUGCAAAAGAGAGUUAAGCUUUCUUAGCCACCCACAUCUUCAAGGGUGGCUUAGAAGCAAUAAGUCUAAGUGCAGCGUCUGAGAACUUUGGCUUUGGAGCCCUAGCAAAAAGUCUUGCAGGUGGACAAUAGUACUCAUAAGAAUAAGCAGAAUAGUUCUUGGUCUUAUGAACAUGGCGGUUCGAUGAACCGCACUCAUAUUCAUAGGCCUGAGUAUGGUUUCCCUGUGGUGUCAUGAUGACAUUCACAGGAAGAUUUUCCAAACACUUUUUCGGCACCCAGAUCUUCUUCAUAGGCGGUCCAUUCCUGCAAUUAGUACCAAUGUACCUGGCAAACACUUCACCAUUCUGAUUCUUAAACAGUUUAUAGUUUGCAUCAAAGGAUUUAUCAAUGACAAUGGGGUUAGCACAAGUGAAGCCAGAUAGAGUGGAUGGAUCUGCUGAAGGUUCCUUUGCAGCAACCCAUGUGGUUUUGGGGUACUGAUCAGGUUCCAGUAAGAGCCAUCAGCAUUCAUUUUCCUUACGAACCCAACACCCUCUUCCCUCGGGUUUUGGUUCAAGAUCUGCCUUUUGAGGACAUCACAUAGUGUCUGAUGCCCUUUAAGACUUUUCUACAUCCCUGUUUCAAGCAAUGUCUUCAACCUAGCAUUCUCAUCAGCAAUAGCAGUGGUAUCCUCAGCAGAGGGGUUAGUUACCACAUCAACAGUUGAAGAUAUUGCAACAGUAGCAGCAAUAGAACACUCAGCAACAGAAGUAGCGUUGUCACGCUCGAUGCAUUUAAGACAUGGUGGUUCAAAUCCUUCCUGAGCGGAACUGAUCUGUUCGGCGCGAAGUGACUCAUUUUCCUUUUGAAGAUCUUCAUGAGCCGCUCUCAAUUUCUCAAGAUCUUGCUUCCUUUGAAUAUAAUCAUAGGAAAGCUUUUCAUGGUGGUUCAAAUCCUUCCUGAGCGGAACUGAUCUGUUCGGCACGAAGUGACUCAUUUUCCUUUUGAAGAUCUUCAUGAGCCGCUCUCAAUUUCUCAAGAUCUUGCUUCCUUUGAAGAUAAUCAUAGGAAAGCUUUUCAUGAGUUGUUGAGAGCGUUUCAUGACGACUUUCAAGUUCCUCAUACUUAACGUGAAGAUUUUUUAUGUCUUAAAUUAAGGACUCAGAUCGAGUCAUUUCAGCGUCUAACAGAUCAUCGCUUUUGUCUAACAGUUUUUGAAUAUGUUCCAUAGCUUUCUGUUGUUCAGUUGCAAUUUUAGCAAGUGUUUUGUAGCUGGGUUUUGAACCACAAUCAGAGUCAUCUUCACUAGAUGUUUGAUAGUGAGUAGUGCAUGUGUUUACCUUGGCACCGCGUGCCAUGAAGCAGUAGGUAGGAGUGGAGUAGUCCUUGUCAUUUGCAUCGGUGUCGGUGAUGAAGUCAUUGUCUUCAGUGUUGAAGAUGGACUUGGCAACGUAUGUUGUAGCCAUACUUGCAACGCCAGAAUCGGACUCCUCCUCAGACUACACCUCCGCCUCCUCAGAAGCAGACUCCUCCUCUGAAUCCAUUUCCUUGCCAACAAACGCACGUGCCUUGCCAGAUGAGCUCUUCUUGUGUGAUGAAGACUUUGAGGAAGACUUGGAAGAAGACUUUGAGUAUUUCUUCUUCUUCUUGUCGUCAGAGUCAUAUUCCUUGCUCUUCUUCUUCUUUUUGUUCUCAUUGUCCCACUGCGGACACUCAGAGAUGAAGUGGCCAGGUUUCUUGCACUUGUGGCAUGCUUUCUUCUUGUAGUCAUGAGCAGAAGCUUCAUCAUUCCUUGAGCUUGAUCGUGAAGACUUUCUGAAGCCUUUCUUCUUGGUGAAUUUCUGGAACUUCUUCACAAGCAUAGCAAGUUCCUUUCCAAUGUCUUCAGGGUCAUCAGAACAGCUGUCAGAUUCUUCUUCAGAUGAGGAGACAGCUUUUGCCUUCAAGGCACGAGUUCGCCCAUAGUUGGGACCGUAGAUAUCCUCUUUUCUCAGAAAGCUGAAACUCAUGUGUGUUGAGCCUCUCAAGUAUGUCAGAUGGAUCGAGUGUCUUGAAAUCAGGACGUUCUUGAAUCAUCAGGGCUAGGGUGUCAAACGAACUAUCAAGUGAUCUCAGGAGUGUCUUGAGGACUUCAUGCUUGGUGAUCUCAGUAGCGCCAAGGGCUUGAAGCUCAUUUGUGAUGUCAGUGAGUCGAUCAAACGUGAGCUGGACAUUCUCAUUGUCAUUUCUCUUGAAGCGGUUGAAGAGGUUGCGAAGGACACUAAUUCUCUGAUCUCUCUGGGUUGAGACGCCUUCGUUGACCUUGGAGAGCCAGUCCCAGACUAGCUUAGAUGUUUCCAAAGCACUCACGCGGCCAUACUGUCCUUUGGUCAGAUGACCACAGAUGAUAUUCUUGGUAGUAGAGUCCAGUUGAACGAACUUCUUGACGUCAGCAGCAGUGACACCUUCUCCAGCCUUGGGAACGCCAUUCUUGACGACAUACCAUAGGUCGACGUCAAUGGCUUCAAGAUGCAUGCGCAUCUUAUUCUUCUAGUAGGGAUAUUCAGUUCCAUCGAAGACGGGGCACGCAGCGGAGACUUUAAUUAUCCCUGCAGUCGACAUAGCUAAAACUCCAGGUGGUUAAACCGAAUCACAUAGAACAAGGGAGUACCUUGCUCUGAUACCAAUUGAAAGUGCGUUAUAUCGACUAGAGGGGGGGUGAAUAGGCGAUUUUUAUGAAAGUCUUCAACACGUGGAAGUUUCAAAGACAAACGAUAGAAAUAAACCUAUUACCAUGCAGCGGAAGGUAGACUACACUAGACAAACCAUAGUCAAGUAUUCAAUGAAGUGAAAGCACAGUGACUAAUAGCAGCUAGGUAGUAAGGAUCAGGUAGGAAGAUAUUAUGAAGCCAAUCAGAACAAGCAAUCACUCAGUGAAGACAAGAGAUAGUGCAAUCAUACAAUGACUUCACAAGGACCAACAGUAAGUAAAGGGAAGGGAAGGAUGAAACCAGUGACUCGUUGAAGACAAUGAUUUGUUGGACCAGUUCCAGUUGCUAUGACAACUGUACGUCUGAUUAGGGCGGCUAGGUAUUUAAACCUGAGGACACACAGUCCCGGACACCCAGUCCUCAACACGCAGCUCAGGACACCCAGUCCUCACCGUAUUCCCCUUGAGCUAAGGUCACACAGACCUCGCCCAAUCACUCUGGUAAGUCUUCAAGGCAGACUCCCAAACCUUCACAGACUUCGUUCACCGGCGAUCCACAAUGUCUCUUGGAUGCUCAUAAUGCGACGCCUAACCGGCUGGAGGAUUCACAGUCCUCAAGUGUAAUAAGUCUUCAGACCACACAGACAAGAAGACUUAAGUGAUGCCUAACACUCUUUGGCUCUGGGUGGUUAGGGCUUUAUCCUUGCAAGGAAUUCUCUCUCAAAGGCUUCAAGGUAGGUUGCUCUCAAACGACAAAAGCCAUACUCUAACUCUGAGCAGCCAACCGUUUAUGGUUGUAGGGGGUGGGCUAUUUAUAGCCACUAGGCAACCCGACCUGAUUUGUCUGAAAUGACCCUGGGUCACUAAGAAACUGACACGUGUUCCAACGGUCAGAUUUCAAACUCACACGGCAACUUUACUUGGGCUACAAGCAAAGCUGACUUGUCCGACUCUGGACAAAAUUCGCUCUCAUAGUCUUCACUUGAAGACAUAGGUUUUGGUUAAGCAUCACUUCAGUCAUUCUGACUGGUUCUCUUGGACCCCACUUAACAGUAUGGUGGUUCCUAUGACUCAACAAAGAAGAAACAGAACUACGAAAGAUCUAAGUCUUCGAGCUCCAUAGGCUUCAUGCGAUGUCUUCUCUUGUCAUAGUCUUCAAUGAGAAUAUCUUCAUAAACCACCUUUGACAUCAAUGUCUUCAUACAUUUUUAGGGGUCAUCUCUGGUAGGAAAACCGAAUCAAUGAGGGACUUCUACCUGUGUUAUCCUGCAAUUCUCACAAACACAUUAGUCCCUCAACUAGGUUUGUCGUCAAUACUCCAAAACCAACUAGGGGUGGCACUAGAUGCACUUACACUUCCUUUACCAUUGCUUAACAAGGCACCCUUCCCCAAUAUUCUGUCAGCAUUAUAAAAGAAGAAACAAGCAGACACAUAACAAGUUUAGCAUGUACUAGUAUAUGAAACUCAUUUCGGUGAACCAGUUCAUUAGUAAGGUGGAUAGGAUUAAACUACCAAGUCUUCUAUUGCCAAGUACUAGUACAUAAUAAAAGCAUCAAACAAACAUAUAUCUAUGUCCUAUGGUCACUUCAUUGUCUUGCCAAAUCAAAAUAAAGACACGGUUCAAAUCAUAUCAGUUCAAGACAAAGCAGCAAUGAAAGAAUACAAAGCAUGGGAAACUACACGGCAUAACAAGAUUUCAGAUGGGUACCACGGGUCUACAUGUACAACAACACUAUUGGCUUUGUUGUGAUGCUAGUAAUGUGCAUGAUAUGAAAGUCAACUGUAUACACAAUUGAAAUUGAAAUCAACAGAGCUAUUGAUAAUAGCAAACCUGUUAAAGAAACACGCGUGAACAUAUCUGUUGUGCCAUUAGAGUUUCGAUUGGAUCCUUCAAUUUAAAAAUAAGUUUGUAUGAGUAUACAGUGAUACAAGAGCAAAUCAAUCAUAGUUAAAAAAGGCGCACCUAAGCGAGCGCUUAAGCGCGCCUAGGCUCUAGGCGUUGGAAAAACACAUUGCGCAUAACUACGCAUAAUCUGUGCAUAAUUGCGCAUAAGCAUGCGCUUUGGUCAGUAAAGCGCAAGGCGAUGGCAAAACGCAUAAUUAACGCCUAGCACUUUUUUGAACUAUGAUAGCAAUGGAAUCUUAAAUUAGAACAGUUGUUCUUCAGGUUUAGGCACUUGUUCUACAUGAACAGAGUACAGUAAGACGCAAGAAUAUAAUACUUAAAAAUAGAAAAUGAGCUCAUAGACCUUACCACAUUCUUGGUUCGGGACCAGUACAGAACAAGGCGUUCCUAGUCAUAGUCCAGUAAAUGUGUCUCAGGACAACGUAAGAGAAUUUGAUGAGUUUCUUUGCCGGUGAAGUACGUUUUCUUCAGGUAAUUCGGAUACUGACACCAAGCAUUCUUGAACAUAGCAGAGGUAUUAGCACAGGUUACCUCAUCCUGAGUUUCCAAAUCGGUCCUUCUCUAUAGAGAAAAAUGGGAAAAUUUGUUGUAUUAUAACCAUCAUGGAGGUAGGAUGUAUGGGACGAAGCAAAGUAAUUGCCAUGAAUAACAUUACUUACACAUAACUCCUGGACAAACACCUGCAAUUGGCAUUUUCCUUCAUCUUCAGUAUAAUAUUUCCAAGAUGGGAAGAUACGCACAUACGAUUUAACAACAUUAAAUGCGAUAGAUGCUAAACUACGACUAGCUGGUUGUGCUUCCUCCACAGGAAUAGGCGUACUAACUGGUGGAGUUGGGGUUCACCGUGAUAGUACUGGCCCUUUGGGCACUGGAGCUGCCUUACUAACUGCUCUUGUUUGGGAGCUCUGUGGUGGAGAUGGUGUCGUGUCAACAGGAACUGGGUUACUAUCGGUUGGGGUUGGGGUUAGAUUGGGUGAAGCCGGUUCUCUAUCCAUCGCAGUAGGGGUACAAUCUGCGAGAGUUUGGGUUAUGUGUGGUAGGGCUGGUUCUUGUGCAUGUACAACCGGGGUGCUAUCUCCACCAAGAGGUAGCACUGUUUUAUUUGAAGACCGUGUUUUUAGUCCGCUAGAUACUGGCAUCACCCGCUCCAAUUCAAAUGGCUGAUAAACAGGAAACAUAGUUGAAUGUACAGACAUUGUAUAAGAGACAGAUGCAAUAGAUAGUAUGGAAAAAAGAGGGCAUGAAAUAGUUGACAUGUAUAUUGUUUAACUAAAACGGAUAGCAUGACAUAAUUUCACAUAUAUGAUGUCUAUCUAAACUGGAUAGCAUAGCAUAACAUAAUUCAAAGAUAUGAUGAUUAACUAAACAGGAUCGCAUGACAUAAUUCACCUACAUGUUAUCUAAGUAAUCAGGAUCGUGUCAUUUAAUUCACAUAUGUAAUUUAUAUGCUAAACAGAGGGCAUUCGAUAUGAUGUCUGAAGUAAGAACAUGAUGUUGAAUAUUAUGUAUAUGAUGUCUAAACUAUGCAAUGCAAGACACUGUAUGCAUGAUAUGAGCAGUAUAACUGUGCCAAGUUAGAGCAUACACCUCAGUGGGGGAAUAGGACUGGUCAUCUGUCUCUGAAUCCAUCUCUAAGGAGCUAUCGGGACCCAACAAGAGAUCUGCUUCGACAGGUAGCAUUGUCUGCUCUGAAGGCCUUGUUUUCACUCCAGAUUUUUUCAUCUCCCACCCAAAUGGCUGAUUCAUAGGAAGAGUAGUUUAAUGUACAAACAUUAUCGACAAAUGGAAAUGUAAUGAAGAAAAGGAUGGGUAAGAUAUCAUUCAAAUAUAUGAUGCCUGGUUAAACAAGAUGGCAUUGCACAUUUCACAUAUAUUAUGGCUGGCUAAAAGACAUGAGACUGCAUAAUUCUCAUAUAUGAUAUAGAAACUAAACAGGUGGCAUUACAGAACAUGUCUAAACUAAGCAGAUGACAUAUAUGAUGUCAAAAGUAGGCACUGCAAGGCAACAUGUGCAUGAUAUGACUAACAUCAUCAUGGCAAGGUAGAGCAAACAUGCACCUUGGUGGGUAAAUAGGAGUGGUCAGCGGCGUCUGAAUCCGCCUCAGGGCAGAUAUCUUCCUCUGGAUUACAAUCUGGAGAGGGGUGGGGAGGGUUUGCCAUUGGACCCACCAUGGAGCGAUGUCUGCAUGACAUUGUAUUGCCGCGCAAAACUCUUCUCUUUUUCUCUACAUGUUCAGCAUGACUGUGUACAAUAUCUGACAUGCAUACGAAAAAAAUAUGGUGAGAUUAUGUAAGGAGAGCAUGCAGAAAUUUAGAGUGAUGGUAACAACCAGUGGAUCGACGUUUUUCCAUUGAACCAAAAUAGCCCUAAUGGAUCGACGUGAAUGUAUAGUAAUAAGUGAUGUAACAAGUGUACAACCUCUUUGUCGUAGCCGUGUCGACCUCAGCAUCAUUGGGUUGGUCGCUGAAGAAGUUGAGGCAGAGGUUGCUGUUGGAGGUGUGGAGGAAGAUCUGAGGAAUCUGUAGACGGCGUCCAGGGCACUGCUCUAUUGUGAUGGAUCGUUCUAUCAUUGGAGCAGCUCCGGUGAGCCGUAAGACAUCAAGGCUGAAGCAGCACAAGACAGACAUCGUCAAUCUCAAGUGGGAUUCUAAUAGCAUCUCCAAUAGAUGAUGUAAAAUGGAUGUAAAAUUAACAUCACCAAAAACCACCUGACUACAACAGAUGAGGUAAAAACUAUUGACUCUAAACUUAACUGUCGAAACUGAAAUUUACUGUGAAAUCUGAAUGCUACUGUCAAAACUGAAGGCAGUGGCAGCAGAGAGGCACUUGACAUGUAGUUUAGAGAGGGCAUGCAGUUCAUCUUCAACCUGCACCCCCCUGAGCCGCCAGCCACCACCCGCCGAACCACCGGCCCCAGCACCGCCUCGCCGCCCCGAAACAACUCGCCACCGCCGCCCCGGCCAGCCCUCUAGGCCCCGCCCCCACCCUGAACCCUAAGAUAGAUAGUGGGGUACCUCUCCGGCGAGCCCCCGUCCCCGCUGCGGGUGGUUCUUCCUUAACUCCGGCGAGCCCCCCAACCCCUGAAAUCGACUAACCCAAAAGUCGAUUCAGUCGACUAAAGUGUGGCUUAAUCGGAGCAAAGUAGCAGCAUGAGCGAGGGGGAGAGUAGUAGCAGCAGCAGCGCGAGCGAGCGAGCGAGAGCCAGAGCAGCAGCAGCAGAUCCGGCUAGUAUGGACGCCACUGCCGAAGGGGCCUCGCACUGGGGGAGAGACGCAGUGGAGAUGUCGCCCGCGACACCGGCUUCAAGGUAGCCGCUCCAUGGGGGUGCGGGAUGAAGCGUCGUUGGUGCCGGGAGGUCGAGUUAAGGAGAAGGUGCAAUGCGAUGAGUGUACAACCUCUUUGGUGGCGCCGAGUAGGCCUCGGCUUCGUCUGAGGAGUCGGUGAGGAUGCUGCGGUUCCGGUGGACCAGGUUAAGGCGGCGUUGUGGGGAUGGAGCAGCCGUGAUAGAUGAGGCGAUUGUCGGAGCAGCUCCUUGGAGGUGGAGGACGGGGCGGCUGAACCAGCAGGACGGCGAGAUGGACGACGGAUCCUCAUCCAGGGAGGUGGACGAGGGACGUCGAGCUGUUACGGUGGAUGACGUCGUCGGGGAAGAGGCUCUGGCUGGGCAGUGGUGACAUGGCGGGUGGAGGAGGAUGGGGUUUCGUGGCUGGAGCGGAGAGGUUAUGGCGGCCUGGGAUUUCGAAUGGAGAAAAGAGGGCGAUGGAAGGGGGUGAAGCAUGACUUAGGGACGCGCUUGUCCAAAAUGUAGGGUGUGUUACAAAAGUACCCCCCACCGAUUUGAACUAGCGGCCCUUUCGGCUCAGGAUUAGAAGGGGGAUUUCGCGUGUCGGGAUUUGGCAGUUGGAGGGAGUUUUCGCGCGCGUUGUAAUUUUUGGAUAGCAAGGCGCGGGUUGUGAAGGCGCCAGUUUUGGGAGCACGAUAUCUGAAUUUUCGGGAUAUAACAAGAUGCGGGUUGAAUUUUAGGGACAAGCCUAACAUGUAGUAAUAUUGUACUUCUACGUACCAAAUCAAUUCACACUUCCCUCAACCAAAAAGAAAACGAAAAAAAUAAAACUAUUCACACCACACAAAGAGAGAGUCUUACCCCAUUUUACUAUACAAAUGCUAUUCAAAGCUACUCCCUCCUUCCAUCUAUAUAGGGCCUAAUGCGUUUUUCGAUGCUAACUUUGACCAAAUAUUAGAGUAAUGAUAUAUAACAUGCAACUUACACAAAGCACAUCGUUAAAUUCGUCUAUGAAAGGUUCUUUCAAUGAUAUAAUUUUCACAUUGUGCAUGUCAUGUACUAUUAAUCUUGUCAAUAGUCAAAGGUGGUCUUAAAAAUCUCAUUACGCCCUAUAUAGAUGGAAGGAGGGAGUAUGAAUCCAUGUUAUGUUCGAUUAAAUUUUUUUGAUUGCUGUAUAAUGCAUGUAACCUACUCAUACCAACAUUUAAGUGCAUUCCAAAUGUCUAUACUACCACUGCAAUUCGAACUAAAUUUGAAUUUGUUUCUCUAUUUCAAUAAGAAUCUACAAUCAUGAUUGUUGCCAACUUCAACCAUCAUAGUUUCCUUGCUAUCCGCCAGAUAUAAAUCGGACGGCCUAUAAUGCAGGAUGGCAGGCAUACCAUCAUCAACAACUCCGUUUUUUUAUAAGAGUAGAGAUAAAAUAUAUUAAAUGUAGUAUAACAUGUUCAUAACCACACCAUGUGUAUCACCGUUAUAUAUAUUCACACAUGUGUCGGGUUGAAACACUAUGAUAAAUUCUUCAAAUAUCUGAAUUCGCUUUUUAUAAUGAAGUAUAUAUGAUCUCUAUUCGUCUUUUACACCCACACAACCCUCUUAUCUUUGUAGCUAGAGCUAACUUUCUCUUGUGCAUGCACAUGCCCGCAUCCCUCUCACCCUCCCUCAGCAUUCUCUAGCUCCAUCGCGCAAAUUCGUCUUUUCACUUUAGGUCGUUCACCCACGGUGUGUGUAGGCCCCCCAACUCCUUCUUUAUGGCACACAUCGAUCAAUAUGCCUCUCUAGCCAGGUGUGCCUAGCACAAACACAAGCUUCCCCUCUUCUCUUGUCACCGUUCAUGCCUCACUCUUUUCAUCGUUCUCGUACCCCCCAUCGAUCGAUGUACCUCACAAGUUAUGUCUCUCCUUUCUCUAACAAAGGGCGACUGAUCUUCCUAUGUAGUUACGUCUGCUUACCACAGCCACAUCGUCCCCCCUCAUCAUUCGUGCAUGCCUCCUGACCCGUCUCUUCACAUGCACAUGCACAGACAACAAGCAGCCAUCUCCUCCCGUAUUGAUAUUGCGGGCGUGCCCUCCGUUUGUCUAGCAAGCCUAUCCCACCAUUUGUUAGAAGCAACUCCACUACCACCCCCUCCAACACUCUAGCUCUGUCUCUCUCCCAAUCUUAUUCCUCUCCUGCACAUAUGCAUGGAUGUCGAUCGAUCUCCCUUAAUACAUGAGGCAGAUCGAUCUCCUUAAUACAUGAGGUAGGCCUCUCUCCUCCUCCACACAUACACCAGCCAUUGUACCUCUAUAGUUAAUUGGGUCUCCCUCUUCCCCCACCACACACCGAUAGUCGAGCGCUGCAGGUAGGUAUCCAUGCCACAGAGACAAACUGCACAUGUCCCAUCUCACGUUCCAGUAAGCCAGCCACUCUAUAUCUUUGAUGUGGGCACACACAAAUUCGAUGGCACUCUUUAUCGAUCACACGCGCACACACACACACACAUCAUCCCUCUCUUCGAUUCUAUGGACACCUCCAGAUGCAUUUGUAUGAGUAGUUUAUCUUGUGAGAGAAAAGGUUGAACGAGGGAAGGCCUUAUUUGCGAACAUGGAGAGACGUGUGGGUAUAUUUUUGCAAAAUUGCCAUAGUUUCUUUCAUAUCCGUUAGAUAUAAAUCCGACGGCCUAUAUUGCAGGAUGGCACGCACACCAUCAUCACCAACUCUGUUUUCUAGUAUUGUCUUUUUAGAGAUUUCAACAAGUGACUAUGACCGGACCUUACCAACAUACUCAAAAAAGUAGUCCAUAAUUUUGAUGUUACCCUCUUUUCUUGGCGGUGCAGUGCCAUCUGGACACCUCAUAAAUAAAUAAAGUACUACAUGAUACUAAUAUAUGAUACAUGGCGCAGGAGUACUAAGUAUUAUUAAUACAGUUUUGCUAGAACUCAUCUAGAUGAGAUAUAAUUUGGUCUCAUUCAUCUUUUAUAGCCAUUGGAUGUGAUGCUAUAUAAGAUGCGUCUGUGUUGACGUGGGUUGUAUUUGUUCUUGUGCAACGAACUGACCACUGCAUGUCAUGUUUGAUAUCUCAAGUCAUUAAAAGCAUACAAGCCCCACAUCUCUUCUUGGUUGAUUCCUCUAUUUAUGUCAAAAAAUAAGAAACAACAUGAGAGUUAAUGCACCACGCCUAUGUGUUUACUAUUUGGUUUUCGUAAGAUGACUUAAUACUCACCUAGAUGGAGGGAGCAUUCGAUUUGACAGUGGGCGGUGCAGUUCCCGAUACGGCUUUAAUGCAGACAAGGGAGGGAGUAGCGGUUCCCAAUAUGUUGAACGGCCAAUGCAUCCUCCUUCAAUUAAUGCAUGAGGGAAGUAAUGGGAGGAGGUCUGGGAAAAGAGAUUGCACGAUGUGAAUGCAAUGCAGUUUGCCCUCAUUGCCCUCAUAUAAAGGCACCCCUCCAUUCCAAUGCAUCUACCACAUCGUAUGCACCUAAGCAUUUGCCUAAGCACCUGCACUAAGCGCAAAAGAGCUCACUCCAGACCCAUGGCGGCGAUGCGCGUGAGCGGCCAGCGGCUGCGCCAGAUGGUCCACGACGCCGGCCUGUGGCAUGGCGCCGAGGAUCGUCUCCAGACGGUGUUGGAGACCGGCUGGUGGAUGGCCGCCGUCGACGCCAACUACGACUCUCAGUUGGACCAGAUGAUCGUUGCCACUAGCAACAAGUUCACCAUCCUCAAGAAGCUUGUGGACGACAUCGCCGUACUCCUCCAGCCCGCGCGCCCGGGCUCCUCAUUGCCUGCCACCCUAAUCGGCCUCCAUGGCCAGAACCUCUUUCAAGCACCGGUGGCCCUGUGACUGCCCACUAACGCCACAAAGAAUGUCCACCUGGAGGUCCCACUCACCGCGAGGCGCCUCACCCUGCAAGAAUUUGUCGACCUACACAUCCACGUGUACGAGGAAAUCGUGUACAUAGGUAUCUACAAGGCCGGUGAGGACGCUACGACGUUGGCCUUCCUCAACCGGCUGGAAGCCUUGGAUGCCUUUGCUGAGAAGCACCUCGACCUCGCCACAAAAGCCGCCACUCCUUAGCCGUCGGUCGGUGGCCCGGCGCACUAAGUUGAGGAGGAGGAGGUCGUACGUUCGUGGAUCCAUCUUUCUUCUUCCCUUCUGUAACCACCACUGCGAUGGCAUCAUCGUGGCCUUAAUUCUUAUUGUGCUGUUGCAUUCUCGUUCCAGUCAAUACCGACAUGUGCGAUCCCUUUGCUUAAUUAUAUGCAUCACUGUAAAUAGUACUCCAUCCGUCAAUUUAUAAGUUGUGCUUACCUUUUCCAUCAACUUCGUGCAACGCGCGGGCAUCUUGCUAGAAACACUAGAAUAUGUCUAUAUAAUCCGUAUGUGAUAGUCCAUUUGAAAUCUCAAAAAAGACAAAUAUUUAGGUAUAGAGGGAGUAAUACAUUAGGAGUAUAUCAAAACAAUAGUGAUUUCUUUCAAGUUUGUGAACAAAUACUACUAUUCUACUACUUUGGAUCCGUCGCAACGCACAGGCACAUUGCUGGUAAAAGGAAAAGGCAUGCCGUGUUCGCGUCGCACCCCCACACGCCCGGGAAUCGGGAGUACAACAUGGCCGUCCGGCAUGACACAUAGCUUAGGGAAGGUGUGUUGCCUAGCAUUUUCACUUUCAUGUGGGACCGCCGUUGAGCAAACCGACACCCCGCCCGCCGCCGGGUUGGAAAACAGAAACGAGGGGAAGAUCUAGCUGUAGCACAGAAGCCAAGAAAUUUGGUGUCAGACGGGGCUCGUUGAUAGAGUAGGAGCAUUCCGUACUAGUACAACUCCUACUAGUACCAAGUUUGUACUCCUAAUACUAUAUUACUAGUACUACCACUAUACAACUAGUAGGUACGUGCACAGCACAGCAUCGUAGGACCAAAAAAGCGAAGAUCUUGUUUUGGGUGAUUUAUCUUUUUUCAAUCAACAUAGUAUGAAAAAUAUGAUGUGGGGGGCACCCAUGAAGCUUAUGUGGCUUGGUUGCAUGGCUACGGAAGGUUAGAGAAAAAUAAAUAGAUAAUGUGUUUAGAGUGCACUCCACUAAAUAGAUAUACUUUGGAUCCAUUGCAACGGACCGGCACAUCUAUAUCCAUACCCCCUAUAUAGUGUGUGAAAAACUUUGAAAGUUGGUCGUUGGAUGAAGCCAAUCUGACGGUACAAAGAUGGCAAAUCCGAGCACUACUGGUCGUUGGAUAUCAUCCACCAGAUUCUUCCACAUGUAUAAUCUAGAAGACUCCAUGGUUGAACUUAAUUCAUGACUAACUUUGCCACAACUAAGUGAUGACCCACAAGUAUAGGGGAUCUAUCGUAAUCCUUUCGAUAAGUAAGAGUGUCGAACCCAACGAGGAGCAGAAGGAAAUGAUAAGCGGUUUUCAGCAAGGUAUUCUCUGCAAGUACUGAACUAAUUGGUAACAGAUAGUUUUGUGAUAAGAUAGGUUGUAACCAUAUGAGGAGAAGAAGUGGUUGUUGGGGAACAUAGUAAUUUCAAAAAAAUUCCUACGCACACGCAAGAUCAUGGUGAUGCAUAGCAACGAGAGGGGAGAAUGUUGUCUACGUACCCUCGUAGACCGACAGCGGAAGCGUUAUGACAACGCGGUUGAUGUAGUCGUACGUCUUCACGGCCCGACCGAUCAAGCAACAAAACUACGGCACCUCCGAGUUCUAGCACACGUUCAGCUCGAUGACGAUCCCCGGACUCCGAUCCAGCAAAGUGUCGGGGAAGAGUUCCGUCAGCACGACGGCGUGGUGACGAUCUUGAUGUACUACCGUCGCAGGGCUUCGCCUAAGCACUGCUACAAUAUUAUCGAGGAUUAUGGUGGAAGAGGGCACCGCACACGGCUAAGAAUAUGAUCACGUGGAUCAACUUGUGUCUCUAGGGGGUGCCCCUGCCUCCGUAUAUAAAGGCUCAAAGGGGGGGUGCGGCCGGCCAGGAGAGGCGCGCCAGGAGGAGUCAUACUCCCUCUGGGAGUAGGAUUCCCCCCUCCCUUUUCCUAGUUGGAAUAGGAUUCGCGGAGGGGGUGGAAAAGAGGAAGGGGGGCCGGCCCCCUCUCCUUGUCCUAUUCGGACCAAGGGAGGGGAGGGGCGCGCGGCCCAUCUCUGGCUGCCUCUUCUCUUUUCCACUAAGGCCCACUAAGGCCCAUAUAUCUCCCGGGGGUUCCGGUAACCUCCCGGUACUCCGGUAAAAUCCCGAUUUCACCCGGAACACUUCCGAUAUCCAAACAUAGGCUUCCAAUAUAUCAAUCUUUAUGUCUCGACUAUUUCGAGACUCCUCGUCAUGUCCGUGAUCUCGUCCGGGACCCCGAACAACCUUCGGUACAUCAAAACGUAUAAACUCAUAAUAUAACUAUCAUCGAAACCUUAAGCGUGCGGACCCUACGGGUUCGAGAACAAUGUAGACAUGACCGAGACACGUCUCCGGUCAAUAACCAAUAGCGGGACCUGGAUGCCCAUAUUGGCUCCUACAUAUUCUACAAAGAUCUUUAUCGGUCAGACCGCAUAACAACAUACGUUGUUCCCUUUGUCAUCGGUAUGUUACUUGCCUGAGAUUCGAUCGUCGGUAUCCAAUACCUAGUUCAAUCUCGUUACUGGCAAGUCUCUUUACUCGUUCCGUAAUACAUCAUCCCACAACUAACUCAUUAGUUGCAAUGCUUGCAAGGCUUAAGUGAUGUGCAUUACCGAGAGGGCCCAGAGAUACCUCUCCGACGAUCUGAGUGACAAAUCCCAAUCUCGAAAUACGCCAACCCAACAUGUACCUUUGGAGACACCUAUAGAGCACCUUUAUAAUCACCCAGUUACGUUGUGACGUUUGGUAGCACACAAAGUGUUCCUCCGGCACACGGGAGUUGCAUAAUCUCAUAGUCAUAGGAACAUGUAUAAGUCAUGAAGAAAGCAAUAGCAACAUACUAAAUGAUCGGGUGCUAAGCUAAUGGAAUGUGUCAUGUCAAUCAGAUCAUUCAACUAAUGAUGUGAUCCUGUUAAUCAAAUAACAACUCUUUGUCCAUGGUUAGGAAACAUAACCAUCUUUGAUUAACGAGCUAGUCAAGUAGAGGCAUACUAGUGACACUCUGUUUGUCUAUGUAUUCACACAUGUAUUAUGUUUCCGGUUAAUACAAUUCUAGCAUGAAUAAUAAACAUUUAUCAUGAUAUAAGGAAAUAAAUAAUAACUUUAUUAUUGCCUCUAGGGCAUAUUUCCUUCAGUCUCCCACUUGCACUAGAGUCAAUAAUCUAGAUCACAUCGCCAUGUGAUUUAACAUCAAUAGUUCACAUCUUUAUGUGAUUGGUUCACAUCUCCAUGUGACUAACACCCAAAGGGUUUAGUAGAUUCAAUAAUCUAGUUCACAUCGCUAUGUGAUUAAGACCCAAAAAGUGAUCAUGUUUUGCUUAUGAGAGAAGUUUAGUCAACGGGUCUGCCACAUUCAGAUCCGCAUGUAUUUUGCAAAUUUCUAUGUCAACAAUGCUCUGCAUGGAGCUACUCUAGCUAAUCUAUCCCACUUUUAAUAUGUAUCUAGAUUGAGACUUAGAGUCAUCUGGAUCAGUGUCAAAACUUGCAUCGACGUAACCCUUUACGACGAACCUUUUGUCACCUCCGUAAUCGAGAAACAUAUCCUUAUUCCAGUAAGGAUAAUUUUGACCGCUGUCCAUUGAUCUACUCCUAGAUCACUAUUGUACUCCCUCUCUUAACACAGUGUAUGGUAUACAAUAGAUUUGGUACACAGCAUGGCAUACGUUAUAGAACCUAUGACUGAGGCAUAGGGAAUGACUUUCAUUCUCUUUCUAUCUUCUGCCGUGGUCGGGCUUUGAGUCUUACUCAACUUCACACCUUGUAACACAGGCAAGAAACUUUUUCUUUGACUGUUCCAUUUUGAACUACUUCAAAAUCUUGUCAAGGUAUGUACUCAUUGAAAAAACUUAUCAAGCGUCUUGAUAUAUCUCUAUAGAUCUUGAUACUCAACAUGUAAGCAGCUUCACCGAGGUCUUUAUUCGAAAAAACUCCUUUCAAACACUCCUUUAUGCUUUGCAGAAUAAUUUUACAUUAUUUCUGAUCAACAAUAUGUCAUUCACAUAUACUUAUCAAAAAUGUUGUAGUGCUCCCACUCACUUUCUUGUAAAUACAGGCUUCAUCGCAAGUCUGUAUAAAACUAUAUGCUUUGAUCAACUUAUCAAAGCGUAUGUUCCAACUCCGAGAUGCUUGCACCAGUCCAUAAAUGGAUCGCUGGAGCUUGCAUAUUUUGUUAGCACCUUUAGGAUUGACAAAACCAUCUUGUUGCAUCACAUACAACUCUUCUUUAAUAAAUCCAUUAAGGAAUGUAGUUUUUUUUAUCCAUUUGCCAGAUUUCAUAAAAUGCGGCAAUUGCAAACAUGAUUCGGACAGACUUAAGCAUAGAUACGAGUGAGAAACUCUCAUCGUAGUCAACACCUUGAACUUGUCGAAAACCUUUUGCGACAAUUCUAGCUUUGUAGAUAGUAACACUACUAUCCAUGUCUGUCUUCCUCUUGAAGAUCCAUUUAUUCUCAAUGGCUUGCCAAUCAUCGGGCAAGUCAACCAAAGUCUACACUUUGUUCUCAUACAUGGAUCACAUCUCAGAUUUCAUGGCCUCAAGCCAUUUUGCGGAAUCUGGGCUCAUCAUCGCUUCCUCAUAGUUCGCAAGUUCGUCAUGGUCUAGUAACAUGACUUCCAGAACAGGAUUAUCGUACCACUCUGGUGCGGAUCUCACUCUGGUUUACCUACGAGAUUCGAUAGUAACUUGAUCUGAAGUUACAUGAUCAUCAUCAUUAGCUUCCUCACUAAUUGGUGUAGUAGUCACAAGAACAGAUUUCUGUGAUGAACUACUUUCCAAUAAGGGAGAUGGUACAAUUACCUUAUCAAGUUUUCUACUUUCCUCCCACUCACUUCUUUCGAGAGAAACUCCUUCUCUAGAAAGUAUCCAUUCUCAGCAACGAAUGUCUUGCCUUCGGAUCUGUGAUAGAAGGUGUACCCAACUGUCUCCUUUGGGUAUCCUAUGAAGACAUAUUUCUCCGAUUUGAAUUUGAGCUUAUCGAGAUGAAACUUUUUCACAUAAGCAUCACAACUCCAAACUUUAAGAAAUGACAGCUUAGGUUUCUUGCCAAACCAUAGUUCACACGGUGUCGUCUCAACGGAUUUAGAUGGUGCCCUAUUUAACGUGAAUGCAGCUGUCUCUAAUGCAUAACCCCAAAACGAUAGUGGUAGAUCAGUAAGAGACAUCAUAGAUCGCACUAUAUCUAAUAAAGUACGUUUAUGACAUUCGGACACACCAUUACACUAUGGUGUUCCAGGUGGCGUGAGUAGUGAAACUAUUUCACAUUGUUUUAAUUAAAGGCCAAACUCGUAACUCAAAUAUUUUACCUCUGUGAUCAUAUCGUAGAAACUUUUAUUUUCUUGUCACGAUGAUUUUCCACUUCACUCUGAAAUUCUUUGAACUGUUCAAAUGUUUCAGACUUAUGUUUCAUCAAGUAGAUAUCCCCAUAUCUGCUCAAAUCAUCUGUGAAGGUUAGAAAAUAAUGAUACCUGCUGCAAGCCUUAAUAUUCAUCGGACCACAUACAUCAGUAUGUAUGAUUUCCAACAAAUCUGUUGCUUGCUUCAUUGUUCCGGAGAACAGCGUUUUAGUCAUCUUGCCAAUAAGGCAUGGUUCGCAAGCAUGAAGUGAUUCAUAAUCAAGUGAUUCCAAAAGCCCAUCAGCAUGGAGUUUCUUCAUGCGCUUUACACCAAUAUGACUUAAACGGCAGUGCCACAAAUAAGUCGCACUAUCAUUAUUAACUUUGCAUCUUUUGGUUUCAAUAUUAUGAAUAUGUGUAUCACCACGAUCGAGAUCCAACGAACUUGUUUCAUUGGGUGUAUGACCAUCGAAGGUUUUAUUCAUGUAAACAGAACAACAAUUAUUCUCUGACUUUAACGAAUAACCGUAUUGCAAUAAACAUGAUCAAAUCAUAUUCAUGCUCAAUGCAAAAACCAAAUAACACUUAUUUAGGUUCAACACUAAUCCCGAAAGUAUAGGGGAGUGUGCGAUGAUGAUCAUAUCAAUCUUGGAACUACUUCCAACACACAUCGUCACUUCACCCUUAACUAGUCUCUGUUUAUUCUGCAACUCCUGUUUCGAGUUACUACUCUUAGCAACUGAUCCAGUAUCAAAUACCGAGGGGUUGUUAUAAACACUAGUAAAGUACACAUCAAUAACAUGUAUAUCACAUAUACUUUUGUUCACUUUGCCAUCCUUCUUAUCCGCCAAAUACUUGGGGUAGUUCUGUUUCCAGUGACCAGUCCCUUUGCAGUAGAAGCACUUAGUCUCAGGCUUAGGACCAGACUUUGGCUUCUUCACUUGAGCAGCAACUUGCUUGUUGUUCUUCUUGAAGUUCCCCUUCUUCCCUUUGCCCUUUUAUUGAAACUAGUGGUCUUGUCUACCAUCAACACUUGAUGCUCUUUCUUGAUUUCUACCUUCAUCGAUUUCAUCAUCAUGAAAAGCUCGGGAGUCGUUUUCGUCAUCCCUUGCAUACUAUAGUUCAUCACGAAGUUCUACUAACUUGGUGAUGGUGACUAGAGAAUUCUGUCAAUCACUAUCUUAUCUGGAAGAUUAACCCCCACUUGAUUCAAGCGAUUGUAGUACCCAGACAAUCUGAGCACAUGCUCACUGCUUGAGCGAUUCUCCUCCAUCUUGUAGCUAUAGAACUUGUUGGAGACUUCAUAUCUCUCAACUCGGGUAUUUGCUUGAAAUAUUAACUUCAACUCCUGGAACAUCUCAUAUGGUCCAUGACGUUCAAAAUGUCUUUGAAGUCCCGAUUCUAAGCCGUUAAGCAUGGUGCACUAAACUAUCAAGUAGUCAUCAUAUUGAGCUAGCCAAACGUUCAUAACGUCUGCAUCUGCUCCUGCAAUAGGUCUGUCACCUAGCGGUGCAUCAAGGACAUAAUUCUUCUGUGCAGCAAUGAGGAUAAACCUCAGAUCACAGAUCCAAUCCACAUCAUUGCUACUAACAUCUUUCAACACAAUUUUCUCUAGGAACAUAUCAAAAUAAACACAGGGAAGCAACAACGCGAGCUAUUGAUCUACAACAUAAUUUGCAAAAUACUACCAGGACUAAGUUCAUGAUAAAUUUAAGUUCAAUUAAUCAUAUUACUUAAGAACUCCCACUUAGAUAGACAUCCCUCUAAUCCUCUAAGUGAUCACGUGAUCCAAAUCAACUAAACCAUGUCCGAUCAUCACGUGAGAUGGAGCCGUUUCAUUGGUGAACAUCACUAUGUUGAUCAUAUCUACUAUAUGAUUCACGCUCGACCUUUCGGUCUCCGUGUUCCAAGGCCAUAUCUGUAUAUGCUUGGCUCGUCAAGUAUAACCUGAGUAUUCCGCGUGUGCAACUGUUUUGCACCCGUUGUAUUUGAACGUAGAGCCUAUCACACCCGAUCAUCACGUGGUGUCUCAGCACGAAGAACUUUUGCAAUGGUGCAUACUCAGGGAGAACACUUCUUGAUAAUUAGUGAGAGAUCAUCUUAAAAUGCUACCGUCAAACUAAGCAAAAUAAGAUGUAUAAAAGAUAAACAUCAUAUGCAAUCAAAAUAUGUGACAUGAUAUGGCCAUCAUCAUCCUGCGCCUUUGAUCUCCAUCUCCAAAGUACUGUCAUGAUCUCUAUCGUCACCGGCAUGACACCAUGAUCUCCAUCAUCUUGAUCUAUAUCAAUGUGUCGUCACACGGUCGUUUUGCCAACUAUUGCUCUUGCAACUAUUGCUAUCGCAUAGCGAUAAAGUAAAGCAAUUAUUUGGCGCUUGCAUCUUAUGCAAUAAAGAGACAACCAUAAGGCUUUUGCCAGUUGCCGAUAACUUCAACAAAACAUGAUCAUCUCAUACAAAAACUUAUAUCUCAUCACGUUUUGACCAUAUCACAUCACAACAUGCCCUGCAAAAACAAGUUAGACGUCCUCUACUUUGUUGUUGCAAGUUUUACGUGGUUGCUACGGGCUUAGCAAGAACCGUUCUUACCUAUGCAUCAAAAACCACAACGAUAGUUUGUCAAGUUGGUGCUGUUUUAACCUUCGUAAGGACCGGGCGUAGCCACACUCGGUUCAACUAAAGUUGGAGAAACUGACACCCGCCAGCCACCUGUGUGCAAAGCACGUCGGUAGAACCAGUCUCGCGUAAGUGUACGCGUAAUGUCAGUCCGGGCCGCUUCAUCCAACAAUGCCGCCGAACCAAAGUAUGACAUGCUGGUAAGCAGUAUGACUUAUAUCGCCCACAACUCACUUGUGUUCUACUCGUGCACAACAUCAACAUAUAAAACCUAGGCCCGGAUGCCACUGUUGGGGAACGUAGUAAUUUCAAAAAAAUUCCUACUCACACGCAAGAUCAUGGUGAUGCAUAGCAACGAGAGGGGAGAGUGUUGUCUACAUACCCUCGUAGACCGACAGCGGAAGCGUUAUGACAAUGCGGUUGAUGUAGUCGUACGUCUUCACAGCCCGACCGAUCAAGCACCGAAACUAUGGCACCUCCGAGUUCUAGCACACGUUCAGCUCGAUGACGAUCCCCGGACUCCGAUCCAGCAAAGUGUCGGGGAAGAGUUCCGUCAGCACGACGGCAUGGUGACGAUCUUGAUGUACUACCUUCACAGGGCUUCGCCUAAGCACUGCUACAAUAUUAUCGAGGAUUAUGGUGGAAGGGGGCACCGCACACGGCUAAGAAUAUGAUCACGUGGAUCAACUUGUGUCUCUAGGGGGUGCCCCUGCCUCCGUAUAUAAAGGCUCAAAGGGGGNNNNNNNNNNNNNNNNNNNNNNNNNNNNNNNNNNNNNNNNNNNNNNNNNNNNNNNNNNNNNNNNNNNNNNNNNNNNNNNNNNNNNNNNNNNNNNNNNNNNNNNNNNNNNNNNNNNNNNNNNNNNNNNNNNNNNNNNNNNNNNNNNNNNNNNNNNNNNNNNNNNNNNNNNNNNNNNNNNNNNNNNNNNNNNNNNNNNNNNNNNNNNNNNNNNNNNNNNNNNNNNNNNNNNNNNNNNNNNNNNGGCCAGGAGAGGUGCGCCAGGAGGAGUCCUACUCCCUCUGGGAGUAGGAUUCCCCCCCCCCCCCUUUCCUAGUUGGAAUAGGAUUCGCGGAGGGGGUGGAAAAGAGGAAGGGGGGCCGGCCCCCUCUCCUUGUCCUAUUCGGACCAAGGGAGGGGAGGGGCGCGCGGCCCAUCUCUGGCUGCCUCUUCUCUUUUCCGCUAAGGCCCAUAUAUCUCCCGGGGGGUUUCGGUAACCUCCCGGUACUCCGGUAAAAUCCCGAUUUCACCCAGAACACUUCCGAUAUCCAAACAUAGGCUUCCAAUAUAUCAAUCUUUAUGUCUCGACUAUUUCGAGACUCCUCGUCAUGUCCGUGAUCUCAUCCGGGACUCCGAACAACCUUCGGUACAUCAAAACGUAUAAACUCAUAAUAUAACUAUCAUCGAAACCUUAAGCGUGCGGACCCUACGGGUUCGAGAACAAUGUAGACAUGACCGAGACACAUCUCCGGUCAAUAACCAAUAGCGGGACAUGGAUGCCCAUAUUGGCUCCUACAUAUUCUACAAAGAUCUUUAUCAGUCAGACCGCAUAACAACAUACGUUGUUCCCUUUGUCAUCGGUAUGUUACUUGCCUGAGAUUCGAUCGUCGGUAUCCAAUACCUAGUUCAAUCUCGUUACCGGCAAGUCUCUUUACUCGUUCCGUAAUACAUCAUCCCGCAACUAACUCAUUAGUUGCAAUGCUUGAAAGGCUUAAGUGAUGUGCAUUACCGAGAGGGCCUAGAGAUACCUCUCCGACGAUCGGAGUGACAAAUCCCAAUCUCGAAAUACGCCAACCCAACAUGUACCUUUGGAGACACCUGUAGAGCACCUUUAUAAUCACCCAGUUACGUUGUGACGUUUGGUAGCACAUAAAGUGUUCCUCCGGCACACGGGAGUUUCAUAAUCUCAUAGUCAUAGGAUCAUGUAUAAGUCAUGAAGAAAGCAAUAGCAACAUACUAAACGAUCGGGUGCUAAGCUAAUGGAAUGAGUCAUGUCAAUCAGAUCAUUCAACUAAUGAUGUGAUUCCGUUAAUCAAAUAACAACUCUUUGUCCAUGGUUAGGAAACAUAACCAUCUUUGAUUAACGAGCUAGUCAAGUAGAGGCAUACUAGUGACACUCUGUUUGUCUAUGUAUUCACACAUGUAUUAUGUUUCCGGUUAAUACAAUUCUAGCAUGAAUAAUAAACAUUUAUCAUGAUAUAAGGAAAUAAAUAAUAACUUUAUUAUUGCCUCUAGGGCAUAUUUCCUUCAGUGGUCAAUCCAUCAAUCGAAGUCCUGCCGCCGCCGCUGGUGCUAGGGUCCGUCGACGACGUCCAUUAUAGGAGUCAACGUCAGACUUUACCCGUGUUGCUCGGAACGAUGGAUGGCACAGGGACUACUCCAUCGCGCGGCGAAGGCCACUGCUUCUUUGGGAGAAGAGGCAGGGCUGGCUACCUGGAUGUGCUCUAAUUUGAGGUAACAACUGAAUCUUGUCAGAUACUAGUUAAAUCCGAGCUAUGGGUGUGAAGCACUGAUAUGCCAGUACAUUUGAUUGUGACAUGUUCUAAUUUUGUACCUGAACUUUUUUUAGAAAGGGUUGUACGUCAACUUAAUGUGCUAGCAGAACUUAUUAUGUUGUCUGUCUGUUUUCUUUGCACAACAUUCAAGAUAUUUCUCCGUCAUUGAUAAAGACGAUGAACCGUUAUGUACGGCUUCGUUGGUUUCAGCAUAGCCCUUCCCGUAGCGAUCCACUGCUUCCAUCCUGAUUGUGCCGCCUGCGUGAAAUUUUUGUAUGCAAGUUCAGUGUGCUAUGAUGUUCUAUAUGAUUGUGUGAACUAUAUAAGUUUUUACUGAGCAUCAGCAAUGCAUAUGGCUGAAAGAUGUAUUUAUGAGCAUCGACUGAUGGGUCUCUCUCUAUCUCUCUCUCUCUCUCUCUCUCUCUCUCUCACACACACACACACACGCGCGCGCACACGCGCACAAGUGGGACCCGUUGAAUUAUUUAUUUGCUUGUGACAGCUUUUAAUUAGGUUCCACUGUAAUCUAACUUUUUUCUUAAGUUAUUAAUUGAGCUCAGUGACUUCAAAAAGUUGUACAGAAGCCUUGUUUGGGCCUUUCCGGCGUCGCUGAAUGUGGGUUGAGUAACCAUGUUAGGUUGUGUUGUACUAGACAGGCCUUUUUUCAAUAUUAGCAAUGCAACUGGGCCGACAGUUGUACACAAUAUCCGGAUCAACUUGUUAUUCUUCGCCCCGUUGGGCUGCAAACUUUCCUAGGAAGUAUGCAUUAGGCUUAACAAAAAAAUGGACUUUAAGAAAUAAUAAAUGAGAUGUAAUUAUAAUAACUGGACAAUUAUUAUGCACCAAAUACGUAAUUAGUUUGAAAAAUAUAUUAUUUUUGGAAUUUUAAAGUUUUAAUUUCAUUACUUGUUGCGUGCACAAUAUUUCGUUGGAUUUUUACGUAAUACAAUUUUAUUUUGAAAUUAUAUUUAACCUGACUAGAAAUUUCGAAUAAAAAUAUUUCGGAUCCCAUCAAAAUGUGGGAAUUUUUUUAAUUCUGUUUUGAGCGGUUGUUUGAAAUUAUUAAUCGUUGUCCUAGCUAGAAGUUGAGCUGUACUUUUAACAAACUGUAAAUGGGCUGUAGUAAAUUUCAUUAGAAUUAAGAAAUGAGAUGAACAUUCUUACAAAUCGCAAAUGGGCUAUAUGUUCUCUGGCAAAUCCGAGCUGUGGGCCUACUAAGUUGACGCAUACCAAGGGCUUUGUCAACUUAGUCAAUAUAAACGAUUCUAGCUGCAGUGAUCGUACGAUGUCCAUCCAAUGGCCGUAGUGCUUUUUCAACCUCUGGUCUUCUUUCUCCAGCCGCCCAAAGCAGCGCCGGUCGUGUCGCGAGCUCCUGCCUCCCGUGGCCGGUUGUGAUGCUGCAGAGGCCUCACUGCCCCGUACUACUCCCACCGCUGACCAGGCUAUCCCUCUACUCACCCACACCCCCUGUUAUUCUGCGGCGACGGCAGCCUCACACCGCAGCCGAACCAGUGAACCCUUGUACUCCUAUCUGUGCGGGCUUCCACUGCUGCGUCUUCCCUGGCUCCGCGUCGUCUCCUUCCUAGGCCUCACCAUCGUCCAGACCACCGCCCUGGUGCUCUCGACGCGGCGUGGUCAACGACCGACUUCCAUCGGAAGAGUACUGUACGUGGAGAGGCUGACAACUGGGUCCAGGCGGCCGCAAGGAAGUGCCUCCUUAUUACGCGCAAAAUAAUUAUUCCUCCACCUGACAGCAGGGACCCGCCGGACGGGCCACCUUAUUUCACAAAAAAACGUUUCCCCUUGACUGUUGGGACCCACCGGACGGGACAGCGUAUUUCGCGAAGAAAACGUUUCCCCCGCUGUCAGCUCAGACCCACUGGAAGUGCCUCUUUAUUACGCACAAAAAAAGGAAUACUCCCCCUACUAGCUGGGACCCACCAUGGUGGGAGGCUGACUUGUGGGCCUACUAAGUUGACUGGGACGGAGGCCUUUCUCAACUUUAGUCAAUAUGAAUGAUUCUAGCUCCAGUGACCAUAUGAUGUCCAUCCAAUGGCCGUAGUGCUUCUUCAACCUUUGGUCUUCUUGCUCCAGCCGCCCAAAGCAGCGCCGGUCAUGCCGCAUGCUCCUGCCUCCCGUGGCCGGCUGUGCUGCCACGGAGGCCUCACCGCCCCCUACUAUUCCCACCGCUGGUCAGGCCCUGCGGCGACGGUAGCCUCACACCGCAGCCGAACCAGUGAACCCUCGUACUCCUCUCUGCGCGGGCUUCCACUGCCGCGUCUUCCCCGGCUCCCCGUCGUCCCCUUCCUAGGCCUCGCUGUCGUCCACCGCCCUGGUGCUCUCGGCGCGGCGUGGUCAACGUGGUCAAGCAACGACUUCCAUCGGACGUGGACUGUACGUGGAGAGGCUGACAGCUGGGUCCACGGCCGCAGCAAGGAAGUGCCUCCUUAUUACGCGGAAAAUAAUGAUUCCUCCACCUGAUAGAUGGGACCCACCGGAUAGGCCACUGUAUUUUGCGAAAAAAAAGGUUUCCCCCUGACUACUGGAACCCACUAGCUACAUCUUCACACGCAAGGAAGUGCGUCCGGGCAAAAAAAUGAUUCGCCCCCUGACUUCUGGGACCCAUCAGCUACAUCUUCGCAGGCAAGGAAGUGCCUGACAGUCGAGACCCACCUGGUCGAAGCAUACGUAGCGUUGUCAUUCUGGUCGCGGACGUGUACAUACAUAUAUACUGGUGGAUAUAGAGGCGCGCAUGUGUCAUAGUAGAGGCGUGUACGUGUCGUAGUAGAGGCACGCACGUAGCAUGUACACGUAUGUACAGCGGCCAGGGUGCAAGAAAGAAAAUACGGUCACAUAUGUGUACAUACGGGCGGGGUCUCGAACGCCCACUCGCGCAUACGUACGGCCAGGGCUCGUGUACAUGGCUGGGUCGAAACGGAGAAAUAGCGUCGUCGUCGUGUUCAUGGGGAGGCAACGGAAUGCGUCGUGUUCAUCGGGAGGCAACGGAAUGCGUCGUGUUCAUCGGGAGGCAAUGGAACGCGUGGGAGCCAACCGGCUGGGUCGGAACGGAAUGCGUGGUCAUAUUCAUCGGGAGGGCUUGGACGGAAUAGGCGAUGGAAACGAGGCCUGGCGUACCGCACAACGGAGGAAACAGACCUCCUACGUUCGAAACAGGGUCCUGAUGAUUGGGAGGGGUCUGGCGUACCGCAAAACGGAGGAAACGGACCUCCUACGGUCGAAACGGGUGUCCUGUUGAUCGGGAGGGGUGUGGCGUACCACAAAACGGACGAAACGGACCUCCUACGGUCAAAAAAGGGGUCCUGUUGAUCGGGAGGAGUGUGGCGUACUGCAAAACGGACGAAACGGACUUGUGUUGGAGCGCUACGGUCGAAACGGGGGUCCUGUUCAUCGGGAGGGGUGUGGCCUACCGCAAAACGGGACUCCACGGGAUACUGUUCAUCUCCACUAUCGACCUCCUCCAGCCUUCACGGGCUACCGUCGACCUCCUCCAGCCUCCACGGGCUCCUGUUCAUCCAGCCUUCCACCACGCGCUACUCCAUCGGCUACUAUUCAACCACCCCUCCACCUUCUACUAUUCAUCCAGCCCUCCACACCACGGGGUCCUGUUCAACCACCCCUCCACGGACACCCCUCCACCGUAUACUGUUCAUCCAGCCCUCCACCACACCACGGGAUCCUGUUCAUCCAGAGGCAACGNNNNNNNNNNNNNNNNNNNNNNNNNNNNNNNNNNNNNNNNNNNNNNNNNNNNNNNNNNNNNNNNNNNNNNNNNNNNNNNNNNNNNNNNNNNNNNNNNNNNNNNNNNNNNNNNNNNNNNNNNNNNNNNNNNNNNNNNNNNNNNNNNNNNNNNNNNNNNNNNNNNNNNNNNNNNNNNNNNNNNNNNNNNNNNNNNNNNNNNNUUCAUCCCAGAGGCAGCAUCGAUCGGCUUCAGUUAGCAGCAGUAGCGAAGGAAUCGCUCGAUCGGAUUCAGUUAACAGCCAUCGAUCGAUCGCUCGGGUUCGGUGACGCGUAGCCAGCAGUGCAAUCGCUCGGGUUCAGUUAGAGCCCAACACCUCGCUCGGGUUCAGUUAGAGCCAACGCCUCGCACACACGCGCGUACGUGUACGAGAGAAACGCGCAUCGCUCGGCCCCCGACCUCCCACCGUAACCGGGAACUCCCCGAAAUUUUCCUCCCCCUCGCUUCUACCAUGCUUUUUUCCGUCAUGGACGGCCCAAAGAAUGUCAUGCAGCUGCGUCUCCGGCCCGCCCAGGACGAAAUGCCCAUUUUCUGUUAUGAUUUUUUGUCAUAGAAGUAGGAGCCCACCACAUCUAUGAUGAUACCGGGUUUUGUCACAAUUAUCAUCAUAGAAGUGUCAUAUGUAUGACAAAAAAAAUUCGUUCGGCCCAAAAUGUCACGGAUGUGUCUUUUUUUGUAGUGUUCCAUUUCUCAUCAUCCUUCAACACGUUAUAGCAAUGGGGCAAGGUAAAGACCCUUCCUUUCUUGAUCUUCCCCUUCUUGGUUUUCCCCUCCUCUUCUUUGAACAAGUUUUGUGCAAUGUUGUACUACAUGAAAACAAAGCAGGUUAGCACCAACAAGUAUGAUGAACAUGUAUGAAAUGCCACUUACUCUAUCGUCCUCAUUUAUGCCACUUGGGUUCAACUUGUCAACCGCCUUUUGACAGGUCGCCCACCUUUGACAAUCCGAGUUGAUUGUCGACCAUCGGGACCGAAGUGAUCUCUCAGAGCGGUCAAGUCCACUCACGUUGUGAACAUCAAAGUGUUCUUUCAUCCGCCCCCAAUAAGCAUCUCGACUUUCAUCACCUCCAACGGAUGGAUCCCUCGACACUUGCAACCAAGUAUUGCAUAGUAAGAUGUCAUCGGCGUUGGUGUAAUUGCCCGCUCUUCCUUUCGGCGCGUCGACAAUGCCCUCACCCUCCUCGUCCACCUCGAACUCGUGGUCUUCGAAAUGCAUGUCAUUGGUUUGAGACCAAUGUGAAUUGUUGGAGCCAACACCCAUAGUUGACAUGUAUGCAUCAUCAUUGAGACUACAAAGUUUUUUGAACAAUGCAAAUAAGCUAUCUAUAUGUGAAUGCAUUGAAAAAAUAACAAGAAAAGAAAAGUUGGGAAUUUUUUUACCUUGGGGGCAUUUCGUCGAACAUGUUGUGCGCGUCGGCCGCCGGCUCAACGAGUGAGCUCGCCGGCGCUUCCGUAGCCGCCGCGCCCAUCGCACGCCCUGCAAGCUUCUUCCUCCUCGCCUUCGAGGUGCUGGAGCCGUCCGCCGCCUUGUUUUUCUUCGCCGAUGUCUUGCCCUUCUUUGGCCGCGCCGCAUUGGGGAGCUUUGAGGAGGGGGUGGUGGCUCGGGCCGGCGCCGGCGCGACGCCACCCGCCACCGAGGUCAUCCGCGGCGGCAUGAAGAGGCCGCGCGCGAGGCCGAUGGUCGAAGGAGCUCCGGCGAAGGCGAGGCCAACGCCACCCGGGCUAGGGUUUGCGGCGGCGGCGGCGGCGGUGGAAGGGUCGCGGCUAUAGGAUGGGAUGAGCGGGGUGUCGGCGCGUGCGUCCAUGGGUGCAGUUCGCCGGCGCCGGCGCGCGCGGGGCGUAGGAGGCGGAGAAGAGAGAGUGCAGCGCGAGCGCUCGAGUGUGCCGCGCGCGGAAGCGGGCGCCCCAAAUACACCACACGAGAUAGCGAAUCCGACCGCGCGCCCAACUCCUUGUACCGCGCGCGCGGUUAUUGUGCGCCCGCUGGAGCCAUCCGCCGGGUUGCGCGCGCGCUAAACUGGCCAAAUUUGCGGCGCGGCGCUUGUUUAGCGCGGCUGUUGGAGAUGCUCUCAUACUUUCUCCGUGAUAGAGAUCAAAUUUAGUGAAAAGGAUGUGGAAUGAAAAGAUCAACUGCUUUGCGAUGUAGCACUUUUUUGCUAUCUGCUACAAAAGUAGACGAAAAUGGGUUAAAGAUAUUAAAGUAGGCAAAAAAAAAUUGACAAACAAGUAAUUCGUUGCAAUGUCAGACGCAUCAUAGGUAGCAGGUGCUCUGAAGUUUUCUAGAAACAAUAAAACUUCUCUGAACUAUUUAGUUAAAAAGAAAAGAGUAAAUAUGGAGGAAUCCACUCUUCAGGGCAUUAGUCACACAAAAUGCUUUUAGGAAUUUCAUCACAUAGCCGUAGUUAUAUAGGCAAGAUAUAUAUCGCACAAUCCAAAUUCUCUUUGCCAUCAAACUAAUCACAAAAACUGACAGGCCUGGGCCACAUGACAGCUCCCACACAGGCCACCCUCCUGCAAAUUAAAUAAGAUUUCUGUAUAAUUCCAAUCCAACUCAAUUAAUCUUUCCGCAUGCCAUGUGGGAGCUGCCAUGUAGCCAUGCCUGUUAUUUUUUUGUUGAUCGGGAAGAGAAGUUAUCUUAAAAUGUAACUGAAGAUAUUUUCAUGAAAACAGUGAAAAAUCUUAAUUUGUUUAUGUGCAUCUGUCUCACUUGAGUUAUCUUAAAAUCAAAGAGUACACAUGUUAUGAAGGUAAUAAUUUACAACAAGGAUAUAUGGUUUUUGCGCAUUAGUCUGACAGGGUUAAAAAAGAGUAUCACGGGAGUAGGAGAAGAACAUUGUCAUUAAGGAUAUAUAGGUAUGAAAGUACCUUGCACUUCGUACUUACAAGAUCUAUAGUUUCUCUGUACAGGGAAAACGAAAUGGGUACAAGUUGUGUCCAUGGACCAGGUUGUGUGCAUUCUAUCUUUUUAGUGAAAAAUGAACAGAGGUUCUUAAGAUCUAAGUUACAUGACUGCAGUACACCAAAAUCUACACAUUUGCCCUCUCAGAAAAAAAUCUACACAUUUGCAUUGUAAAGGAGCUGUAAAGUCACUGAAUCUUCAUACCAACUGGAGGAACUUUUUACCAAUGAUGUGGCAAGCAGAAGCCCCACUUUAACCUCUUUCUUAACUACUUCUUCUUUUUUUAAGAAAUACUGUAAGAACUUUAGUUCAGCAUGAGACGGUUAUCAUGGAAUUUCACAUGUAUAUAUACAUGAUAAGUUCUCCUUUUGCUUUCAUGAUUUUGUCAUUCCACCAAGGAGCUACCACUUGCGAAGAAAACCCAGUUCAGGAUACGAUGAUACGCUACGCCAUCACGACUCCGAUGGUGUUUUCAACAAAGAUGGGUGAAAAAGUUCCAAUGGAAACUGCUUUAAUCCUCUAUAUGGAUAUCAGGAUCCUAUGACACUUUCAAACUAUCCACAUUGUCGGUGACAGUUGCGCACAAACUUGAUAUUGGAAAAACUUCGUUGCGCGUGAAAGCCCCAACUUACCUCAUACUUUCUCUGUGAUAGGAACCAAGUUAGUGAAAGGAUGUAUAAUAAAAAGAAGAUCAAGUGUGUUGCGAUGUAGAACUUUUUUGUUAUCUGCUAUGAAAAAAUAGCAACAAAAGUAGACAAAAAUGUGUUACGCAGAUAUCAAAGUAGACAAAAAGUUAUUAGACAAUGCAAUGUCAAACGCAUCAUAGGUAGAUGCUCUGAAGUUUUCUAAAAACACAUCAUAGGUAAUUCUUUGCAGUGCCAUCUUACAACGUUUUUCUGCACCACCAACCGUUAGCAGCAAGUCUUCAUAUAAGCAAUAUCUUAUACAGACUGCGGUGAAGCAUAGAAGAUUCAGUGCAGUUCUACUGGAUAUCUUGCAAUACACCUCAGCAAACUUCAGGGAGGCUUUUUUAUUGAAAUGAACAGAGGUUCUUACUAUCCAACAUACAUGACUGCAACAUCUAGUGUUCUAGGAAGAUACAUACCCUCCUAUACAGCAGAAGUCAUACUCGGUGACGAUAUUACAAAGAUCAAACACAGGAGGGUCAUUCCUCUUGAUCAUGUCCUUCGUUCAGUGCCGGGAAGAUAGGUGGCCAGGUCAUCAUAACAGGAGAGAUAUGUAGGCGACCAGCAGCCAGAGUUGUAAACAAACUUAUCGGCUUCUGAUACACCUUCUCAACCACCCUGCUCCUGAGAUGAACAUAAAAGAGAAUGUCGCUUGCUGGAUGAUCCAAGAUUGCAAAGUCGGCAUUGUCCCCGACAAAAUCAACAGCAAUAAAAUUAAAAAGAGGCACCCGAUAAUGACCCACGAGACGUGUGCAUGUCUCAUGGACACAAAAUGUAUCCAC